RNAcentral lists this long non-coding RNA (76168 nucleotides) under Triticum aestivum (bread wheat). RNAcentral describes it as "long non-coding RNA (TAES_LNC019728)". The stretch from base 21682 to 21768 matches the Rfam family "MIR1120/MIR1122 microRNA precursor family". The record is from RNAcentral. Lineage: Eukaryota; Viridiplantae; Streptophyta; Magnoliopsida; Poales; Poaceae.
CGAACAGACAGCAUGAUCAGGAUGGCCGAUGGACCAUAAGAAAAUGAGAGCAUAAGUUGCCAUCACCAAGAUCGACUUCUGAUUAAAUAACGCCCAAGUGUUCAUCGUUCUCAUUUCUCAUGGAGCAACACACAGGCUACAUCCAGGACAUGAAGCAAGCGGGCAGAUCAGACCAUUUCCCCCCAGAGAUCAUUGUAAUUUACACCAUGAUGUCACAAUUUGAACCACGCAUUGUGUGUGCAGUUCACUGCAGUUGCCUUGAUGGCUACAACUCGCAGGUAGCGAGCGCCGACGCCUCACUUGCCGGGAACAAAGUUUGUGGCAAACGCCCAUGCGUUGUUGUUGACAGGGUCAGAGAGGUGGUCGGCGAGGUUCUCGAGUGGGCCCUUGCCGGUGACGAUGGCCUGCACGAAGAAGCCAAACAUAGAGAACAUGGCAAGGCGUCCGUUCUUGACUUCCUUCACCUUGAGCUCCGCGAAUGCCUCUGGAUCGUCAGCCAGGCCUAGUGGGUCAAAGCUGCCGCCAGGGUAGAGUGGGUCGACUAUCUCACCAAGUGGGCCGCCGGCAACGCGGUACCCUUCAACGGCACCCAUGAGCACGACUUGGCAUGCCCAGAUAGCAAGGAUGCUCUGUGCAUGCACGAGGCUGGGGUUGCCGAGGUAGUCAAGGCCACCCUCGCUGAAGAUCUGGGAACCGGCCUUGAACCAUACGGCCUCACCGAACUUGACGCCGUUGCGUGCAAGAAGCUCGGGGAAGACGCAUCCGAGCGCACCAAGCAUGGCCCACCGGCAGUGGAUCACCUCGAGCUCCCGGUUCUUGGCAAAGGUCUCAGGAUCGGCCGAUAGCCCGGCGGUGUCCCACCCAUAGUCGCCGGGGAACUCGCCAGUCAAGUAGCUCGGGGGCUCUCCAGAAAGCGGGCCGAGGUAGAGCACACGGUCAGCACCGUACCACGGGCUGCCUGAUGAAACUGGCUUGGCCUUUGCAGCGGUCUUGCGCAUAGUGACACGGGCCUCACCAAAGAGAGCUGAUGAAGCCACGUUCUUCACUGACUCGCCGGCUAAGGCCGAGGAGAGGGACAUGGUGGUAGUCGCCAUUGCGCUGCUAAGGCGGGAGGUGUAUUGUGUGUUCCAAACAGUGAAAACUGAAGAGUGAGUGUGGAGAUGGUUUGAGACGAGUGGAGGAUGGAGCUAUUUAAGGAACUGAUUGAGCUCUGGUCUGUGUGUACCGACAAGAUAGAUAUAGACAGGAAAAAAAUCUUUGAUCUUCGAUGCUAUUCGUGCAGCAGUGAUCUCGUCAUCCCUCAGGACGUGGCAACUUGAGACCCAGAGAAAGGAGAUAUGUUGUGGCUAGGCCUAGGAUCUUGAUGGAGAAUGGAGACGUGUGAUUGGACGAUGGAUCACAUGUUGAUUCUCACAUCAUCAGCUCACGGUCUGCAUGCAACGAGAUAGUAAACUUGUCUCUGAUGAAGUGGGUAGCCCAAGUGUGGUCAAGAAAGUGAUGGCAAUUUUAGGCCAUACGAUGAUUACUUCGUAGAUAUUUAUUGAAACCGUACUGAAGUUUGGUAUUUACCGAGACCGAACCUUAGUCAUAACUUCGUAUUUUGGUCCCUGGCACGUCCGACCGACAAUGUUCGACAAGCUUUGACGCCGUCAGUGACUUUGUGAGGUUACGUCUCCCUGGAUUUUGGGUGCCCGUCUUCUUUUCUCUGGGACGGCGAUUUGCGUUUCAGAUCAUCGUCGCCAGUGUCUUCUAGCUCCGAUCAACGACUUCCGGCUACCGCCUCAACAACGUUUUCCUGACUCGAUGGUGUUUGGUGGUCCAUAGGUGGUAUUGAGUUUCGCUCACUGCGCGUUGUUGACGAGUGCAGGAGGAAGGUGGUGUGGAUUUUCCCAAGAACCUAUGUGUAAUUUUAAAUUUCUACAAGAAUGACUUUGUAAGGGUCAAUUGAUUUCAAUACAUGACCGUCGCCUUUUGGAAAAAAAAUAAGAUCUUAUUUAUCGACUUAACCAAAUGCGCAGCCCUGCUGGCAAACACAGAGCCGGGCAUUUCUCCGUAAAAAAGAAAGAAUAAAAAGAGAGAGCCGGACAUUUUGUAGAACUUAAAUAAUCCCCGAAAAACCCUGGUUUCAAAGAUGACACUAGAGGGACAGCGCUUCGCCGCGCCCGGCGUUAGGUGCAUAAUUUGUAGUAGAUUUUAGGCGGGUCUCCAAUGUAGAGUUGUUGAGUUGCUAAGGCCCGCAUAUGUAGGCGUCAAAUCUUUCUUUUUCUGCUGAUGUCUCAAGCGCGUUCAGUCAAUCGUGGAGUGGAGACUGAUUCUUGGUUAAGUUAUCCAUGUCUUUCAGCCAUGAUAGCCCAACAAAGAGGCCUAAAUACACGAACAUCACAGAAAGAUGAACAACCACUGAAAAAUGAAGCACAAUCUGGCAGACAAACAACAAUAUUCAGAACAUAUGUGAAGGAGCAUCAGAGUUAGUUCAGUAAACAUCCAUAAGCAAACAUCUCCCCAAAUGUGAAGCAUACAUAUACAAAUCCAAAAGGACCAGUGAUCCCAUAGCAAGCACAUUGCAGCUGCAAAAUCAAUGAGAACUGCUAUACAGACGACAUUCACAGAUGAUUUCAGCAUGACACUCCAUCUCACACCAUCCAUUCAAGACGCCAAUGUACAGAAAGUUGUUGGAUUUGACAUCGGCUCAGGAUCGUGCAAGCAAAUGUCUGUGAAGUAGUUUCGAAAUCAAUCAACCAACAGUGGGCCCAUACUGCAGUAGGGCCACUCCACAGGGGCCAAAACACACCACGGGUCUACACAAACAGGAAGCAGCAUCAAACGGGCUCUCCGAACAGACAGCAUGAUCAUGAUGGUCGAUGGGCCAUAAGAAAAUGAGAGCAUAAGUUGCCAUCACCAAGAGCAACUUCUGAUUAAAUAACGGCCAAGUAUUUAUCGUUCUCAAUUUCUCAUGGAAAAACAAAUAGCCCAAAUUUUAUCGUUCUCAUUUCUCAUGGAGCAACGCACAGGCUACAUCCAGGACAUGAAACAAGCGGGCAGAUCAAACCAUUUCCCCAACGAUCCUUGUAAUUUACACCAUGAUGUUACAAUUUGAACCACAUAUUAUGUGUGCAGUUCACCGCAGUUUCCUUGAUGGGUACAACUCGCAGCUAGCGAGCGCCAACGCCUCACUUGCCGGGAACAAAGUUUGUGGCAAACGCCCAUGCGUUGUUGUUGACGGGGUCGGAGAGGUGGUCAGCAAGGUUCUCGAGUGGGCCCUUACCGGUGACAAUGGCCUGCACGAAGAAGCCAAACAUAGAGAACAUGGCGAGGCGGCCGUUCUUGACUUCCUUCACCUUGAGCUCUGCAAAUGCCUCGGGGUCAUCAGCCAGGCCCAACGGGUCGAAGCUGCCACCAGGGUAGAGUGGGUCGACUAUCUCACCAAGUGGGCCCCCGGCAACGCGGUACCCCUCAACGGCACCCAUGAGCACGACUUGGCAUGCCCAAAUAGCAAGGAUGCUCUGUGCAUGCACGAGGCUGGGGUUGCCCAGGUAGUCGAGGCCACCCUCGCUGAAGAUUUGGGAGCCGGCCUUGAACCACACGGCCUCACCGAACUUAACACCAUUGCGUGCAAGAAGCUCGGGGAAGACGCAUCCGAGCGCACCGAGCAUGGCCCACCGGCAGUGGAUCACCUCGAGCUCCCGGUUCUUGGCAAAGGUCUCGGGGUCGGCCGAGAGCCCCGCGGUGUCCCACCCGUAGUCGCCGGGGAACUCGCCGGUCAAGUAGCUCGGAGGGUCGCCGGAAAGCGGGCCGAGGUAGAGCACACGGUCGGCACCGUACCAUGGGCUGCCUGAUGAAACCUGCUUGGCCUUUGCAGCGGUCUUGCGCAUAGUGACACGGGCCUCACCAAAGAGAGCUGAUGAAGCCACGUUCUUCACCGACUUGCCGGCGAAGGUCGAGGAGAGGGACAUGGUGGUGGUCGCCAUUGCGCUGCUAAGGCGGAAUGUGUAUUGUGUGUUCCAAACAGUGAAAACUGAAGAGUGGGUGUGGAGAUGGUUUGAGACGAGUGGAGGAUGGAGCUAUUUAAGGAACUGGAGGGGUUGAGGCAUUGAGCUCUGGUCUGUUUGUACCGACAAGAUUGAUAUAGACAGGAAAAAAUCUUGACCUUCGAUGCUAUUGGUGCAGUAGAGAUCUCGUCAUCCCUCAGGACGUGGCAACGUGAGACCCAAAGAAAGGAGAUAUGUUGUGGCUAGGCCUAGGAUCUUGUUGGAGAUUGGAGAUGUAUGAUUGGAUGAUGGAUCACAUGUUGAUUCUCACAUCAUCACGGUCUGCAUGCAACGAGAAAAUAAACUUGUUUCUGAUGAAGUAGGUAGCGCAAGUGUGGUCAAGAAAGUGAUGGCAAUUUUAGGCCAUACGAUGAUUACUAGAGAUUAUUGAAACCUUCCUGAAGUUUGGUAUUUACCGAGACCAAACCUUAGUCAUAACUUCGUGGUUUGGUCCAUGGCACGUCCGACCAACAAUGUUCGACAAGCUUUGACGCCAUCAGUGACUUUGUGAGGUUAUGUCUCCUGGAUUUUGGAUGGCCGUCUUCUUUUCUCUGGGACGGCAAUUUGUGUUUUAGAUCAUCAUUGGCAGCAUCUUCUAGCUUCGAUCGACGACUUCCAGCUGCCGCAUCAACAACAUUUGUCUGACUCCGAUGGUGUUUUGCUGGUCCAUAGGCAGUAUCUAGUUCCGCUCACGGCGCGUCGUCGACGAGUGUAGGAGAAAGGUGGUGUGGAUUUUCCCAAAAACCUAUGUUUAAUUUUAAAUUUUUACAAGAAUGACUUUGUAAGGGUCAAUUGUUUUCAAUACAUGACCUUCGUCUUUUGGAAAAAAUAAGAUACGACUUAACCAAAUUAAAUGCGCAGCCCAAAGACAGAGCGGGGCAUUUCUCCGUAAAAAAAUAAAGAAUAAAAAGAGAGAGCCGGACAUUUUGUAACACUUAAAUGAUCCCCCGAAAAACCCUGGUUUCAAAGAUGAUACUAGAGGGGACGCCGCGCUUCGCCGCGCCCGGCGUUAGGUGCAUAAUUUGUAGGAGAUUUUAGGCGGGCCUGCCCAUGUAGAGUUGUUGAGUUGCUAAGAGCAUCUCCAGCCGUUGGCCCCCCAGGGGGCGCCUAAAAUUGCCGCCUGGGGGUGACCCAGCGAAAAAAAUGGGCCUGGGGGCGAGUUGGCCCCCAGCCGCCGCCCCCAGGGCCGGCCCCAGACGCGGGGAAAAAAAUUGUGUAGCAAAUUUACGCAAAGUUCGGCUAAAACACGCCAAAUUUCGGCAAACUUGGACUUAUAUUCGCGGAUUUAAGUCGAGUAGUCGCCAUUACAUAUAAAAACUAAUAAAAAAAACUUGCUGAAGGCCGAGAAGUCGCCGUCGUCGCCACCAUCGUCGGCCUUCUCCUCCUUGACUCAGGCGCCCCUGCUGGACCCCUCCCCGGCUGGUGGCGGCGGCGGCGCGUCGUCGUCGUCGUCGCUGUCGUCGAUGAUGACGACUCCUCCUUCGUCACGGCCUCGGCGGCGCUGCUCGAAGCGCCGCAGGGCGGCGCGCUGGUGCUCUGUCGCCAUCUUGAUGGAGUCCUGGCGUGCCCAUUCAAGGGCCGCGUCGUCGUCGAGCUCGACCUCGCCGUGCUCCGUCUUCACUGGCGCCAGCCCCGGCUCCGUCUUUGGCUUGACGAAGCGCGGAGGAGGAGCCGACGAGGAGGCGCGCCGGCCGCCCUCGUUGAUGACGAUGCCGGGCUCGGCCUUGACGCCGAGCAGCGUCGGAGUGCCGGAGGAGUGGGAAGAGGAGCGGGAGGACGAAGAGGAGGAGGACGCACCGAACCUCCUUGGCGCCCAUUGCCCGUCGCGUCGGUGGUGCGCCGGGGCGGCCGCCCUCGCCGGGGGGUACGCCAACGGCGGGUUGUUGCCGCCCUCGAGGUGCGUCAGCACGCCCUGAAGUGUGCGGCCGGGGGCGCCCCACCACAGGUGGCGCCCCUCGCUGUUCUUCACGCCGCCGACCACCGGCGCCCCAUUGGUGGACGCCAGCCGCUGCUGCUGGCGACGCUCGAAGUACGCCGCCCAAGCCGCGUGGUUGUCGGCGGCGUACUGGGGGAGGGAGAGCUCGGCGUCGGUGAGGGAGGCGCGCACGAUCUCGACCUCGUCGGCGAAGUAGGAUGGUUUGGCCACGGCGUCGGGCAACGGGGGAAUGGGCACUCCCCCAUUGCUGAGCCUCCAGCCCGUCGGCCCGGCGCGCAUGUCCGGCGGCGCCGGGAUGUUCGCCUGGAACAGGAGCCAGGACUCCUGUUCGCGGAGCGAACGGCGGCCGAAGCCGUUGGUCGCCGCCUCGUCUCCGGGGAAACGCUCGGCCAUCGGGGAGAUGGAGUGGCUGAGGAGAAGAGAUCAGCGGCGGCGCUCGGGAGAUGGAGUGGCUGGGGGAGAAGAAGAGAUCGGCGGCGGCGCUCGGGAGAGGGAGGGAUGGGGGAGAAGAGCUCGGCGGCGGCGCUCGGGAGAGGUGGAGAGGUGGCACUCAUCACAGGCGAGCGAGGCCAUAUAUAGCCGCGCCGCGUCCGUGUGUACGCGUCCGUGGGAGGGGAGGCGUCGGCACGCCGCCCCGUGAACGCGCCGCCCGUGAGGAAUCAAUGGCAAAGCUGACCGGCGGCAGCCUUGCCAUUGAUUCCCCGCGGGAAACCGAGGCGUCGGGAGAAGACGAGGCGGGCGGUGUCGCUGACACGGCCGGCCCGCAGCGCUUUCGCGCCAAAAACGAUUCGCCCGGCGCCCCCAGCGCGCCGGUUCGGGUUGGGUCCGCCGGCGCCAAUUUCAGCCCGAGCUGGCAAAAAAGGGCCCCUGGGGACGUGACUGGGCCGAUUUUUUGGCGCCGGUGGCCGAAAAAUCGCCUGGGGGGCCUUGUUGGGGGCGCGGCUGGAGAUGCUCUAAGGCCCGCGUAUGUAGGCGUCAAAUCUUUCUUUUUCUCCUGAUGUCUCACGCACGUUCAGUCAAUCGUGGAGUGGAGACUGAUUUGUGGUUAAGUUGUCCAUCUCUUUCAGCCAUGACAGCCCAACAAAGAGGCCUAAAUACACGAACAUCAAGAAAGAUGAACAACCACUGAAAAAUAAAGCACAAUCUGGCAGACAAACAACAAUAUUCAGAACAUAUGUGAAGGAGCAUCAGAGUUAGUUCAGUAAACAUCCAUAAGCAAACAUCUCCCCAAAUGUGAAGCAUACAUAUACAAAUCCAAAAGUAGGACCACUGAUCCCAUAGCAAGCACAUUGCAGCUGCAAAAUCAAUCAAACAACUCUCAAACUGAGCAUCCCAACCUAAACACCUGCAUACAUGCCUGCUCCUCAAAAUCCCGAACAAAAUACAAAGGAAAGCACAGGAGGCCAAAUGUCAGCAGAGACGUCGCCAACAGAUGAUGCAUUGAACCCACACAGAAGAAGAGCAACCAGCAACACGCGAAGGGCACGGCCACGGCCACCAAGGCGGCGGGCAGAGCCACAACGGCGGCAGCAGGUGACCCCAAAUCAAGGAGCACUCACCACAAAGCAAGCCUCUCACGAACACGGAAGUUCACGGCAGAAAACAAACCCCAAAUCAAGGAACACCGACCAACAAAAAAAAAUGGCCCAUACUACUUCCUCAAAAAAAAAAAAUGGCCCAUACUACAGUAGGGCCACUCCACAGGGGCCAAAACACACCACGGGGCCACACAAACAGGAAGCAUCAUCAAACGGGCUCUCCGAACAGAGACAACAUGAUCAUGAUGGUCGAUGGACCAUAAGAAAAUGAGAGCAUAAGUUGCCAUCACCAAGAGCGACUUCUGAUUAAAUAACGGCCAAGUAUUUAUCGUUCUCCAUUUCUAAUGGAAAAACAAAUAGCCCAAGUAUUCAUCGUUCUCAUUUCUCAUGGAGCAACACACAGGCUACAUCCAGGACAUGAAGCAAGCGGGCAGAUCAAACCAUUUCCCCAACGAUCCUUGUAAUUUACACCAUGAUGUUACAAUUUGAACCACACAUUAUGUGUGCAGUUCUCCGCAGUUGCCUUGAUGGCUACAACUCGCAGCUAGCGAGCGCCGACUCCUCACUUGCCGGGAACAAAGUUUGUGGCAAACGCCCAUGCGUUGUUGUUGACAGGGUCGAAGAGGUGGUCGGCGAGGUUCUCGAGUGGGCCCUUGCCGGUGACGAUGGCCUGCACGAAGAAGCCAAACAUAGAGAACAUGGCGAGGCGGCCGUUCUUGACUUCCUUCACCUUGAGCUCCGCAAAUGCCUCUGGAUCGUCGGCCAGGCCCAGUGGGUCGAAGCUGCCGCCGGGGUAGAGUGGGUCAACUACCUCACCGAGUGGGCCGCCGGCAAUGCGGUACCCCUCAACGGCGCCCAUGAGCACGACUUGGCAUGCCCAUAUAGCAAGGAUGCUUUGUGCGUGCACGAGGCUGGGGUUGCCUAGGUAGUCGAGGCCACCCUCGCUGAAGAUCUGGGAACCGGCCUUGAACCAUACAGCCUCGCCGAACUUGACGCCGUUGCGUGCAAGAAGCUCGGGGAAGACGCAUCCGAGCGCACCGAGCAUGGCCCACCGGCAGUGGAUCACCUCGAGCUCCCGGUUCUUGGCAAAGGUCUCGGGGUCGGCCGAGAGCCCGGCGGUGUCCCACCCGUAGUCGCCUGGGAAUUCGCCGGUCAAGUAGCUCGGGGGCUCUCCGGAAAGCGGGCCGAGGUAGAGCACACGGUCGGCACCGUACCACGGGCUGCCUGAUGAAACCGGCUUGGCCUUUGCAGCGGUCUUGCGCAUAGUGACACGGGCCUCACCAAAGAGAGCUGAUGAAGCCACGUUCUUCGCCGACUUGCCGGCGAAGGCCGAGGAGAGGUACAUGGUGGUAGUCGCCAUUGUGCAACUAAGGCGGGAGGUGUAUUGUGUGUUCCAAACAGUGAAAACUGAAGAGUGAGUGUGGAGAUGGUUUGAGACGAGUGGAGGAUGGAGCUAUUUAAGGAACUGGAGCUAAUAUAGGGGAUUGAGCUCUGGUCUGUGUGUACCGACAAGAUAGAUAUAGACGGGAAAAAAUCUUGAUCUUCGAUGCUAUUGGUGCAGCAGGGAUCUCGUCAUCCCUCAGGACGUGACAACUUGAGACCCAGAGAAAGGAGAUAUGUUGUGGCUAAGCCUAGGAUGUUGAUGGAGAAUGGAGACGUGUGAUUGGAUGAUGGAUCACAUGUUGAUUCUCACAUCAUCAGCUCACGGCCAAAUUUCGUGUUUUGACCCUUUUGUCAAACAAAAUCGGGAUCUGACCCCCGUUUGAAAGUUUUUCGUGAUUUGACCCUUUCCCCUACCGCCACGAGGCACGGCGGUAGGAUCCUAUAGCCUACCACCGAGACCUGCGGCGGUAGCAAACUUAUCCACGUCAACAACGAUAACGGCCUCCGUGCCCCCUCCAUCACACCCUACCGCCGCUCCGCCUGGCGGUAGGAUGUCUGAACCUACCGCCGGAGUCUCUGGCGGUAGGGUGUGGACAUAUAUAAACCGCGGGCCGGCCGCCCCCACCCCCUUNNNNNNNNNNNNNNNNNNNNNNNNNNNNNNNNNNNNNNNNNNNNNNNNNNNNNNNNNNNNNNNNNNNNNNNNNNNNNNNNNNNNNNNNNNNNNNNNNNNNNNNNNNNNNNNNNNNNNNNNNNNNNNNNNNNNNNNNNNNNNNNNNNNNNNNNNNNNNNNNNNCCACCACGAAGAACUGAGCAGUUGCUCGAACUCGCCCUCUCUCAUCCCCUCCACUCCCCCCUCCGAUCUUCUUCGUUUCUUGAUGGAUUUUGCGGAUCGAGAUGGCCCCGAAGAAAGAAAAGUAAGCUCUUUCAAUCCCUCUAAUAAGUUUUAAUCAAACACCUUUCGAUUCGUCGCAUUAUUCGAUUCAAAUCACUCCUUUUUGAACUAGAUUGAAUUUUUUUAACCCUAGGAUUGAUUUAGGUUGAUUCUAGAUGUUAUAUUGUGUUAGAUAUGAACUCUAUUGAAUAGUUGGUAUGGUUGUGUUAAGAUGAACCCUAGUUCAUAUUUGAUUUGAAUGGUUUCUUUUUUGAUAUGAUGGAUGUUGAAGGCAUUUGUUAUGAUAGAUGAUGCAUAUUCCUAUGCUAUGAUGCAAGUAUUGGAUGUAGUGUGUGAUGAAUAUUGGAGAUGAAUAUUGGAUAUAUUUGUUAUAUGUAGUGUAUGAAUCCUCAAGAUGAACCCCUAGUUCAUGUUUUUUGUUUUUUAACAAAAUAUGAGAUGAUGCAUGUUGGAUGUUGUUGGAGAAAUAUGUGUUAUGAUGCAUUUGAACCAUGGUGAUUGCAUCUUCAUAUAAGUAUUUUAUUUAGUUCUUGAUAUAUGUAUUGUAUUUAAUUCAUGUUCAUGAUAAUAUUGAUAUAUGAUUAUUCAAAGAUUGAACUCAUAGGUUCUGUUGGAUGUGAUUAAUUUUUGUUAUGCAUCGAUAUGUUUCGUAGUUAAUGUUGAACCCUAGUUCAUGUUGAAAAAUCUUUUGAUAUGCUUAUGCAAUUCUUUUAGGAGUCCACCUCUUGCGGACGACAUCGGCACGAAGUACACAAUUCUUGACCCUAGGUUCGACAAGCGUCACUGUGCCCGUUUCAUUGAGAAUGGAGUGGUAAUUACUAUUUUAAACCAAAUCUUUCGAAUUGAUGAAAACAAGUUGCUAACUAUUAUGUCCAUGCUAAUUAUGCUUUCGUUAUUGAUUUUCACAGAUGUUGCCACCACUGCGGAUGAGGGCUCACAAGACGACGGUUAAGAUGGAGUACGACGAGCGGUACGCAUCGUUCUUUAGGAGAGCCCGACUAUUGGGUUUCGUCCUGCAGUUCAAGCGUAAGCCGCCGACGCUCGUCCACUCAGCUCUCACGUCUUUGAUCGACCAGUGGCGGCCAGAGACGCACAGCUUUCAUCUUCCAUGUGGGGAGAUGACCGUGACCCUCGAGGAUUGGGCGAUGAUUACGGCACUACCGCUCGNNNNNNNNNNNNNNNNNNNNNNNNNNNNNNNNNNNNNNNNNNNNNNNNNNNNNNNNNNNNNNNNNNNNNNNNNNNNNNNNNNNNNNNNNNNNNNNNNNNNNNNNNNNNNNNNNNNNNNNNNNNNNNNNNNNNNNNNNNNNNNNNNNNNNNNNNNNNNNNNNNNNNNNNNNNNNNNNNNNNNNNNNNNNNNNNNNNNNNNNNNNNNNNNNNNNNNNNNNNNNNNNNNNNNNNNNNNNNNNNNNNNNNNNNNNNNNNNNNNNNNNNNNNNNNNNNNNNNNNNNNNNNNNNNNNNCGCUAAGAGCAACCGGACUUCCGGCAUACCGUUGCCAUGGCUCCUCGAGCACCGGAGCAAGUGCCCGGAAGAUGCCGAGCCCCGAGUGGUGGAGCAGUACGCCAGGGCCUACCUGUGGUACAUUCUCACGGAGGUAGUGUUUCCGGACUGCUCCGGGAACUCUGCCCUAUGGAUGUAUCUCGACUUCCUAAAGGACUGGGAUGCGGGGUACAGCUGGGGGGCCGCCGGACUCGCCUACCUAUACCGUUCGGUAAGUGAAUAUCACUUUCUUUCAAAUAUCAGACGUGUGCUGCUUUACAUUUUGACAUCUUAUCAUCUAUACUUGGUUUGUAGCUUGACGACGCGACCCAGAGAGCGGAAGUCACGUCCGGUAUGUGUGGAUGUGUAUGGGGCCUCUCCAUUUGGAUGUGGGAGCGAAUCCCGGUGGGCCAUUCGUAGAAGCUGCGCUCGCGUGCAUGGAUAGACUAUGGUGGAGAUGACGAAGAUGAUCGGAACCCGACCGUCGCAUACGCUUGGGACGUGGUGCGUGUCUACACUGGCGAAUCGAAGGCCUUGUACAAGGUCUUCAGCAACGAGCUUGAUGCUCUCACGCCUUUCCAGGUAUAAGAACUACAUUUUCACUUGAGCUUACCAUUGUUUCGAUAACACUUUCACUUGAGCUUACCAUUGUUUGGUUAUAGGUUACUUGGCGGCCGUAUAGUGAUGAUCGAGAGUGGCGGUUCGAGCUGAACAGCAUGUGCAAGCAGGACCGGCUUCUCUUCCGGUGCAUUGUGCCCAUGAUUUGUGUCUAUGCCGUGGAGUACCACUUGCCACAGUGCGUUGCCGCACAAUUUGGUAAGGCGCAACACACACCACCUGCCGGCCACGAUACCGGUGGCUAUGACCUACACCAGUGAGUACCACAAGCCGUCCUCAUCGAUUCUAAGUUCUUGUUUUGAUGCUUUACAUUCAUACAAGAAGGGUGUUUUACAUUCUUUCUUAUGCAUUGCAGGAUGAGCAGGCGGAAGAAUCAAUCAAUCACGGAUUGGGAAGCCGAACAUGCGAGAUACGUGAAGGAAUGGAACGAGUGGAAAGGACGCAAAGACACGGAGAGGAGAGUGAUUGACUGGGACGAGCACGAGGAUCACAUGCUGUGGUACGACGAUGGCAUCAAGCAUCGUCUGCGUCUGAGGCCCCAGUGGACGACAGCAGAUGCCGAAGACCUGUUCGAUGACGCCUCAGAGAAUGAAGCCUACAACGAGAGCAUCAGACAGCUUCAAGGCGGGUUUAGGGAGUACAGACCCCUCAUGAACAGAGUGGUAUGUUGUUUUUACCUCUUUUGAACCGACGGUUGGAUGAAAUCAGCUUUUAGUGCUAUUGACUCAUUUUAUUACUUUGCAGUCUUCGGAGCUGAACAAAAGAAUUUUUCAUGCCUCUGAUGCACUUAGUGCUAUCCCUGGGACUCGAGCUAGUGACAACAAGUUGAGGGAAACGGUGAAGGUAAUACGGAGUUCAUUUUUGUUAUCAUUGGACAUUCGAGAAUUUCAUAUUGUUUCGUUAUCAUUGCAGAAAUACGUCAACAAAGCAUGCCGGCUUGUGGGCCUGCUUGCGUGCGCUACAAACACCGAGGAUGUUUUUCCUCCUGCACCGAUGCAUAGCCUCGCUUCAUCAAGCCAUGCAGCCUCGUCGUCUAGGGCGGUUCAAGAUGACGAGGAGGAGAGCGACGACGAUGAUGAUGAAGAAGAGGGCGCAGAAGAAGAACAUGGUGAGGAAGAGGAAGAGGACGAUGAGGAGGAGGAGGAGUACGAUGAUGAUGACGGACCUCCAGCAACUCAGCCAACCCAGCGUGAGAAGAGGAAUGUGCCGAAGAAGGAUUGGAAGAGUCCAUCCCCGUUUCAGAAAGCACGUCCUACGGCCCGCAAGAAGACGGCGGCCGAGAAGCGAUCCAAUGAUAACGAGGACCGAAAGUCGAAGAGGGGAAGGAAGGACUGAAGUUGUUGUCGUGUCGUUGAACUAAAAACUUGCAUAUUUGCUUCGUGAACCAUAUGGAUUUGCUCGUGAAACUGUUUCGUUAAUUUGCUAUGUAUAACUUGGUGAAAACCUUUAUGGAUGUCUAUUUGCUAUGUAUCCAACCUACCUUAUUUAUAGAUUUGAGGUGUGUGCUUCAUAUAUCAUACAUUGUGUGCUUCAUAUGUCAUACAUAUGCUGUUUAAAUGUUGUCUUCCAAAAAUUGAAGACAAAAGAAGUUAGAAGGUGCAAAAAAUGCACACUGGGCCACCCUACCGCCGCACACUAAGGCGGUAGGUCUGUACAUCCUACCGCCAUGACACCCGGCGGUAGGGUGCCUCCCCCUACGCCCCCUCUUGUGACCAGAAAAACGACCAGCUCAGCGGUAGGGUUGCAGACCCUACCGCCGGGGUCCUCGGCGGUUGAAUCCUACCGCCAAGAGCCCUGGCGGUAGGGUGUGCAACCCUACCGCUAAGUUGUUUGUUUUUCUGGUCACAGAAACUUAGCACAUGCUCCCGCCCUACCACCGCGCCCUAUGGCGGUAGGUUGUGGUAUCCUACCGCCGGGCCCUAUGGCGGUAGGGUUUGGGCAUUUAUAAACCCAACCGCCCCGCCCACCCCACCCCAACCCCUUAUCCCCACCCACCCAGCCGCCUUCUUCUUCCUCUCGCCCAUUUUCUCAUCUCCUCCACUUCCCCCCUCCGAUCUUCUUCGUUGAUUCACGGAUUUUGCGGAUCGAGAUGGCUUCGGAAAGAGGAAGGUAAGCUCCUCCAAUCCCCCAAUUAGUUUGAGUCAAAUCAAUCCGCUUUCUUAUAGCCUAAAAAGGUUCAUGUUCAUGUUCAAAAUCAUGAGGGUCCCUAGUUGAUAUGAUGAACCCUAGUUAAUAUAAUGAACCUAUAUGAUUGCAAUGUGAUGAACCUAGUUGAUGAACCCUAGGUUUAGUUUUUUUUACCAUAUGAGGAACCCUCCCUAGUUGAUAUGAUGAACCCUAGAACCUAGAUGAUUGCAGUGUGAUGAAGCUAGUUGAUGAACCCUAGGUUUAGUUUUUUUUACCAUAUGAGGAACCCUCCCUAGUUGAUGAACCCUAGGUUUAGGUUUAGAUUUUUUUUAACAAAUGUUGAACCAUCAACUUCUCAAUUUUUUUGCCAACAAAAUUUAUGAUAUGAUGAAUAUUGGAGUAAGCAAAAUUUAUAUGAUGCAAGUAGUGGAGUAAAUAUGAUAUGAUAUGAUAUUGCAUUUGACCCAUCUUGAUAUAUGUAUUUUAUUUAGUUAAUGAUGAACUUUUGUUAUUCAUCCAUAUGUUUAGGUCUGCAACAGUGGCGCAACCAUCGCCCAUUCAUCUCCAACACGACCCGUCCGGCUUGCCACUUCCGUACGUGUACGAGUCCUUCUCCGAGCUUCUGCAGCCGGUGACCGCUUUUUCAGACGAGUUCCUACAGGCGACGAGGGCAGUUCGGUGGCACGAGAGGGCAGAACGGAUCGCCUACAAUGUGAAGUGUUGGUCGCUGAGGGUGAAGGAGUGGAAGAGAGUGACUGCAGAGAUGGAGGGAGAUCCAACUAUCUCCCGUGAACGCCGGGAAGCGACCAUUGAAGUUGCCAAGCAGCACUCCAACUGGGAGCUGCGCAAUUUGGGCCGGAGGAUUUACUUCGAGAGCAAUGCGGAGGAGAGAGCCAGGAUGCCGCCCCCAAGUGCAUCGGCGUUCGAUAUCAUCAGCUGGGGAAGGGCGGAGGUGAAAACUCCAGCUGGCAAGGCAAGGUGGGAGUGCUUGAAUGGUCGGAUGCCGACCAGCGUUCCGCCUCCGCCUGAACCGGUGGAUCCGCUGCCGUAUCUGUCUCCACGGCCAGGCCUAACAUACGAGGGGGGAGGUUUACCCAACCUAUAAACAUGUCUAUUGUAUAUGCAUCUAUGUUUUAGUAGGGGUUGUCAAACUAUGUGGACAAGUUUGCUAUUUGCUAUUUCGUACUUAUGAAUCUAUGUGUAAACUGUUUGAUAUUUGCUAUGUGGAACCUUUAUUAAUAUGUGAGCUCAUAUUUUGCUAUUUGUGAAACUAUGUGAAACUUGUGACAAAACAAACAAUCAAUAAAACUUGUAAAAACCUAAACCCACAGGAUCCUACCGCCAAGACCUGCGGCAGUAGGGUCACUCAGCCUACCACCAAGACCUGCGGCGGUAGGGUGUUGCGCUGGCCGUUAGCUAACGGCAGUGGGCCGUCCAUGCCACCGCCGGAAGCCCUGGCGGUAGCCUGCGUGAUCCUACCACCGUGUCCUUUGGCGGUAGCAAAAGGGUCAGAUGUCAAAAAAAAAUUAAACUAGGGUCAGAUCUUGAUUUUGUUUGACAAAAGGGUCAAAACACAAAAUUUUACCUCAGCUCACCGUCUGCAUGCAACGAGAUACUAGUAAACUUGUCUGUGAUAAAGUAGGUAGCCCAAGAGUGGUCAAUAAAGUGUUCGCAAUUUUAGGCCAUACGAUAAAUCUUGUAACAAAUUUUCACUUUAAAAUACCCCCUCUGAUCCAAAUAAGUUUUGUGGUUUUAGUUAAAUUAAAACCACGAAUUUUAUUUUGGAUUGGAGGGAGUAGUAUUCCAAUUAAAACCUUGUGAUAUAUUUAUGACAUUGAUUGAAAUAAUUGCAUUUUCUGUGGUUGUUCAUGCAUAUUUUUAAACAAUGAUAUCUCACUGAUAUAACUCAGAAAAAUGCUAAUGCAUCAGAGCACGAGGGGUGCAUUGUCGUUGUACCGAUUCACUCCAGCAUCCUUUGAACCAAGUCCUUGUCACAUAGCGUCAUUUAUUUAGGACAUUAAAACUAGGCCUCUUCCAAGCCCUCUCACGUUAUCAAUCUCCACCACCGUUGGACUGCAUGAUUUGGCCGUCCCUUCCCAUGGAUAGGAUGUUAGACCAUGUUCCACUUCAUUUUUUUGAACACCACCUUACUUUAAUUAACCAGUGUGAAACUUACAAUCGUUCGAUAUAAAAUUCACCACACAGGGUGACAUCAUUAACAAGAAUACCAUCGGAUCUAUUGUCAAAACUAAAUUUUGCUAUUAGAUGAGCCACCACAUUGGCAGAUCGACUAAUCUUAGCCAUUUGAAAGUUUUUUAUCAGCUUAGAUAAGCUUAGUGCUUCCUUCUUCAAAUCGACCAACGAUGACCUAUCAAGGUUCUCUGUUGCAAGAGUCGCCACAACAAACGUACAAUCAGUCUCUAAAAUAAUAGGAUUGUGGAGAGGUAUACCUAUGUAUAGACCAGCAAUGUCACUUCAUUGAUCGGUUGUUCUAAAGGAGUGAUUUUCCGGAAGGAACAUACUUAAAAAAACACUGAUUACAAAUGUACACGCACACAACGACACAACGCCUACUGAAAAGUGGGUUGGAGUUGUGGAGUUUCAAGAUUGAUGAAGUCACCACGGGCACUUCGCUAUCGACAGAAAUGUCACCUCCUACUAAAACAAUAAUUUACAUUAAUGAGACACCAAAGUGUCAACUGAGAUUUGAUUGCUGGUGGGCUAGAGAUACCACCACCCUCCUAACCAUAUAUCCACUGGUUGGUUCUCUAAAGAAAGUGUGUUGAAGCUAUUUAAAAAUCGAGGAUAUAAUUCAUUUCCACUACACAACAAUAGUUUGUUGCGAGGUCCGAAGUAGGCGGCGAUCAUCGCUUUACUAGUUCAAGAUAUAGUGAAGUGUAGAAACCAUACAUGCUAAUUAUAGUAGAUACUCCCUCCAUUCCAAAAUUAUUGUAGUGGUUUCAGUUUAAAAUUUGAACUAAAACGACGACAAUAAUUUUGGAACAAAGGGAGUAAUAUUCAUCUGUCUAACUGUUCCUAACUCGAGUUGCCGUAUAAGCACUCAAGGUUCACUUACAGUUUAUUAAACUCCAACUGUAACUAAACAGUAGUUUGCUAUGAUACAGUUCUUACCGUGUUUAUCGUACAUGUGAGCCCCCAUGCCGAUGGCGCCACAACCGUCGUCGAGUCUACUUCUCUGUUGGCCCUCCGACUCCUCGACAUGGCGUACAGCUCGUGCAGGUCCCUCGUCUACGCAUGCCCGGUGCUGGCAACACCGAUGCGUGCCUUCGUCCAUGACCUGUCCCCAGGCUUGGCAAGCCUGGUGUGGUCCUUCGUAAACUUCGUCUUCGUCCGUCUACGCAUGCCCGAUGCUGGCACCACCGAUGCGUGCCUUCGUCCACGAUGUGUCCCAUGGCUUGGCAAACCCACCGCAACACAUCGUCAACAACGUCUUCUUCCCGGCGCACCACUACUUCAACAACACUGCGCCCAUGACUAACUCGGCGCCUUCUUGCGCCCGCGGCUCCACGGUGACUUCCUCGACACCGGCUACCCCGACUCGACAUCGACCACGGCAACCUAGCUCGACCACGGCUGCACCACCUACGCUCUCGGCUACUUCGACAAACAGCACAAAGGGCUACCGCCUUGCUUGAGCAACCUCGUUCGUUUCCACUCCAGCCANNNNNNNNNNNNNNNNNNNNNNNNNNNNNNNNNNNNNNNNNNNNNNNNNNNNNNNNNNNNNNNNNNNNNNNNNNNNNNNNNNNNNNNNNNNNNNNNNNNNNNNNNNNNNNNNNNNNNNNNNNNNNNNNNNNNNNNNNNNNNNNNNNNNNNNNNNNNNNNNNNNNNNNNNNNNNNNNNNNNNNNNNNNNNNNNNNNNNNNNNNNNNNNNNNNNNNNNNNNNNNNNNNNNNNNNNNNNNNNNNNNNNNNNNNNNNNNNNNNNNNNNNNNNNNNNNNNNNNNNNNNNNNNNNNNNNNNNNNNNNNNNNNNNNNNNNNNNNNNNNNNNNNNNNNNNNNNNNNNNNNNNNNNNUUGAGUAUAUUGAUUAUUAGGAAAGACGAGAUAGACUAGGAUUUGUUCUGGCUUGUCUUGUACUCCAAGUAGAUCAUUGUACUCUUAUAUAUAUGCCCACAAGGCUCAAGCAAUACAUCAACUCACCAAAUCCCUCUCUCCCUUCCAACAGCAAGCACAUUGCAGCUGCAAAAUAAAUCAAACAAACUCUCAAACUGAGCAUCCCAACCUAAAUACAUGCAUACAUGCCUGCUCCUCAAAUCCCGAACAAGGAGGCCAAAUGUCAGCAGAGACGUCACCAACAGAUGCAUUGAACACACACAGAAGAAGAGGAAGCAACCAGCAGAAAUGAAACUGGAACUGAAGAAUAUGCAAUUCAAGAUCAAGGAAAAUAAUUUGGAAGAUUUCAAAAAGUACCUUGUAGAUAACUUCAUGUAAAGUGAUGCUUUCCUUCCCGAAAGCCGGCAUAGACUAAUUUUCUUACUUUGGAGCUUAGUCUCCCCCCACCCAUUGUAACUUAUUUUUAUAUAUUUAUAAAAUUUAUCGUAGAAGGAUUGUUCUAUGGUGUGCGGGUCAAAUAAACCCAGCAACACGCGAAGGGCACGGCCACGACCACCAAGGCGGCGGGCAGAGCCACAACGGCGACAGCAGGUGACCCCAAAUCAAGGAGCACUCACCACAAAGCAAGCCUCUCACCAACACGGAAGUGCACAACAGAAAACAAACCAAAAAUCAAGGAACACCGACCAACAGUGGGCCUAUACUGCAGUAGGGCCACUCCACAGGGGCCCAAACACACCAUGGGUGCGCACAAACAGGAAGCAGCAUCAAACGGGCUCUCCGAACAGACAUCAUGAUCAUGAUGGUCAAUGGGCCAUAAGAAAAUGAGAGCAUAAGUUGCCAUCAUCAAGAGCGACUUCUGAUUAAAUAACGGCCAAGUCUUUAUCGUUCUCAAUUUCUCAUGGAAAAACAAAUGGGACACGACUAGCCAGCACACGUUGGCUGGCUAGCGCUCCAGCGCACACACUCUGUUUAUGGUAGUGGUCCCUCCCCUUGUCCAGCUGUCAACCAAGAAAGGAAAGAAACGGUCCCAACAGUUCCUCCGAGCACAUGUCCCCACGCUAACAAACCUUCACAAAUCUCUCCUCCCUUCUCACCUAUUCUCCAAUCUAGCCCUCAUCUGCAGCCUGCUUAACUCCAUAUCUAACGUCUCUACCAAGGUUUGUUUGCUCAAACCCCUCUCUUGUACAUCCUCCACCGCACCACCUAUUUUUUCUUGGCAGAAAAAAAAUCCAGCUUUGGGUUUUGAUAUUCACAAAACCCUGCGAAAAAACAUAUAAGGCCAUGAUUUGCUGGUUUUAUGCAUUCAACUCCCACCUCGUUCUUAUGUUGUUUUUCUUGUUAGUUUGUCUAGUACUUAAAAAAGCAAGCAACUACUGAUGUUCAGGCAACAUCAUUGCAACCAAAAGUCCUCUGCACAAAAAUUUGCAUCCUAACUCUUUUCCUACCUAGACAAAAACAUGUCUUCCCCUCGAACUUGUAAGAUACAAACUGGUGGUGGUGUGUGGAUAUGCAAAUAUAAACUUCCUAGGUGUAUUAUGCAUGCAAUUUCCUCCUAAAAAAAUUUAGGGUCUAUUUUGUCUAAACCAAAACAUACAUACAAGCAACUUCUUGUGUUCUUUUAGGCAACUUAAGUGCAAUCACCAAGCAAAGUCCUGUGUCCAAAAAAGCAUCCUGACUUUCUUGCUACAUAGGCCAAAAAUGUGUUCCUUAAAAACAUGUGACAUACACCUCCCUGGGUGGAUGUGUGUGCACCAAUAAACUUGCUUGAGGGGUGUCAUGAAAAUACAACAAACUAUUCUAUUUUUGGACAAUUCCAUUGCAAUCAACAAAACAAUAUCCUAUUUAGAAAAUGCAAAAAAAAGUAGUGGGAACAAUCAUCAAGACAAGUGCAAUCUGACUCCCUAUGUAGACCCGCACUUGUUUAACCAGGUAACAUGCAAAAUGCUAAGAUGUAGGAAACAUGGUGGUGUAUUGAAACAACAUGGUGGUGGCUGGGGAGCAAAAGUUUACCAGGUAGUGGCUUGAAGAGCCUAUUUGCUUGUAAAGCUUCUUGUAAGUUUCAGGAAAAAUGACAUACAAAGCUUACACACAAAGUCCAUGCUGAGAUUUAGGCAAAAUGCAUAUAAGUCCUCGGCAAAAAAUAAGAACCUGUUACCAGGAAAGGCAAGAUUAAACAAAUUUUAUAUAUUUUGUUGGUUGGUGAAGCAUCUUACUGUGCAAAAAAAAACCUCCGGCUUUCGACUUGGCAUCUUUUUAGUUUUAACUUUAUAUAUUUUCGUGAGUUGUACCAUGCAUGUUCAUAUGAAAAAUGUUGUGUGUGACUUGCUUGUACUAAUGGUGUGAGUUGCCUAAAUAAUGUGUGUGGUGUUGCCUUGUCCAUUAUGAAUAUCUAGCCUAUGUCUGGGGUACCUAACUUGCCUAUUCAGUUAUUGUUGGUUGUCUGCCUUUUGUCCGUGUGACUUCCGUGACAACAUGUUUAUGCAUGAUUUGUCUAAGCUAAGUGUGUGAGUUGCCUGGAUAAACGGUGUAUGGUUGCCCAAAAAUUGUCAUGUGUGAAAAAUAGGAAAAAGUGGGGGGCGAGGGGGGUGUCGAAUGCUUACUCGUAGCUUCCCGAACUCCACUGCACCCUUCUUGUCCUUCUUCAUGACCUUGAGUAUGAGGUCAUCGUCCCAAACGGAGGAUCUUGGAACCGUGCCUAGAAUCAAUUCAUCCACAUCGAGUGAAUCGAGGAAAAGAACACACUCAAAAAAUGUGAUCUGGCAAAAUCAUGCCGCACAAAAAAAUCCAUGAACAAAAGGAACACAUGCAGGGGGAAGCAUGCAUCUCUCUCCCAAUAAAAUCCAUGAACCUCCCCUGCGCACAUGGUGCAUGAUCUUUUUCUGCCCCCGAUCGUAACUCCUCGAACCAGCGUGAGACCCCAUCUACCACUGGCGGACUGGCCCACCACCCCGCACCUCCCCUCCCGAUGCCUCUAGCACUGGAAUGUGAGUUUUCUCCCCUCCCUCAUGUAUGGCCUCUCCAUUUCCACCUCUUUUUCUGGACAGAGAAAAAACGAGUCAUUAGGGGAGGCAACUUACACAUAAAAUCCAUGAAUAGAAGAAACACAUGCAGGGGGAAGCAUGCAUGCAAGCUUCAUGUUUCGUUAGUACAAAAGCAACCCCCAUCCUAUGUAAAAAGGCACUUCAACUAGCAACUAGGGGUGUUAUUUUAGGAAAGUUUGAUGUGAGACACAGGCAACUCAUCGUUUUGUGGGAAAUUAUAGAAGUAAAAAAAGAAACCUUUGAAGAACAGUUUUUUUGCUGAUUUUCCCUUGGGGUUUUUGGGCUGGUUUGUGUUUCUAUUUUGCAGAUUUGUAGGUUGUGGGGUUGCAUGAGUAGCUGGUUUGGUUGUUGUAGGUAUGCUUGGUUGUUUAGGCAAGUUGUGUUGACAUGUAGGCAUGUACAGUAUUCUUUGCAUGUAACUGAUGAUUUUGUGGUAAAAGCAAAACCUUAAAUUAUCAAAAGAAUAGAAGUCCUUGGAGAUAAGUUUUUUGGGCCGUUGGGGUUUGGGGCUAUGUUAUGCUGGUUUUGUAGGUUGCAUGAACUGCUGGGUUGGUGGAGUAUGUAAAACUUCUCCCUCUGUAAACUAAUAUAAGAGUGUUUAGAUUACUAAAGUAGUGAUCUAAACACUCUUAUAUUAGUUUACGGAGGGAGUACAAAAAAAAGUCAAGCAACUACUAAUGUUAUUUGAGGCAGCAUUAUGCAGUCAACAAAAAAAAUCAACUACUUCCUCCGGCCCAAAAUUCUUGUCUUAUAUUUUUCUAAAUAUGUUGUAUCUAAUCACAUUUUACUGUUAGAUGCAUCGUAUCUAAAUAAGUCUAAGGCAAGAACUUUGGGACGGAGGUAAUACUACGGAAUAUUUUGGGCUAAAGUAACUUGCCAAAUUCUUUGGAAAAAAAGCAUUGACAAAAACAAGUUAGUCGCAACAAUUUGGGUUGUGCGAAGCAUAUACCUGGAAAAGUGAGUGGCAAACCUUAUUUCUUUGGCAUGUUUUUUGUUCUUCGUCUGUGUAGUUUUCACGAAUCCAUGGUUUAGGAGAAAAAGUAGGUAAUAUGGUAAAGAAAUCAAAAAAGCAAGUUGUGUUUAGGGAAUGUAAGUAGGAUAUAUAGUAGAUUGAGGCAAGUUUGUAGUUUACCGAGUAUAUGUUGAAAAACUUAAUAAAAAUACCUAAACAAACUUCAAGUAAAGGUUAGGGAGUGGGAAGGGGGGUUGUGCGUGAGGUAAAUAACACAUUUAGAAAUAGGCAAGUAACAGAAAAUGCCUAAAACACAUGCAAAUUAAUCACAUGCUUAACACUAGCAAGACACAUUCAAAUGUCAAGCAAGUCCUACUCAACACUAGGUACAAUGCAUUAUGUAAUGCACUCUCACUUGCUAGGGCAAGACGCCGGACUCACCGUGCGCCACCCGAUCCAAGCGCGCGCCCUCCACCUCCUCUAGACACCACCUCACCGCUCGCCGCACUGGGGUUCCUCGUGAGAUCCCACUAAGAAGCUACUACUCGAGGCGCGCGCUGCUUGACCCGGCCGGGUCCUGCCUCUCAGUCGCCGCCCUCGUGGGGGCCAUCGCAGCACGGGCAUGGUGAGAUGCUGGAGCUGCUCAGCCGGUGGGGUAGAGCAGCAUUGUGAGGUGUUCAUGUGCAGCUGGAUGAUAACCCACAAGUAUAGGGGAUCACAAUAGUUUUCGAGGGUAGAGUAUUCAACCCAAAUUUAUAGAUUCGACACAAGGGGAGCCAAAGAAUAUUUGAAGGUAUUAGCAGCUGAGUUAUCAAUUCAACCACACCUGGAGAUUAAUUAUCUGCAGCAACGUGAUCAGUAGCAAAGUAAUAUGAUAGUUUUGAUAACAGUGAGAGCAGUAACAGUAACGGUAACAGUGAUAGAAGUAGUUUUGUAACGAGUACAAUAGUGAUGAUAGCAGUAGUAACUUAGCGAGAACAAUAUAAGAUAAAUUUGUAGGCAUUGGAUCGGUGACUUGUUGGAUGAUAUUCAUCAUGAGACAGUUAUAACCUAGGGCGAUACGGUACUAGCUCCAGUUCAUCAAUAUAACGUAGGCAUGUAUUCCGUAAAUAGUCAUACAUGCUUAUGGAAAGAACUUGCAUGACAUCUUUUGUCCUACCCUCCCGUGGUAGCGGGGUCCAAUUGGAAACGAAGGGAUAUUAAGGCCUCCUUUUAAUAGAGAACCGGAACAAAGCAUUAACACACGGUGAAUACAUGAACUCCUCAAACUACGGUCAUCACCGGGAGUGGUCCCGACUAUUGUCACUCCGAGGUUGCCGGAUCAUAACAUGUAGUAGGUGACUAUAACUUGCAAGAUCAGAUCUAGAACAUGGAUAUAAUGGUGAUAACAUAAACGGUUCAGAUCUGAAAUCAUGGCACCCGGGCCCAAAGCAUUAAGCAUGGCAAAGUCAUAGCAACAUCAAUCUUAGAACAUAGUGGAUACUAGGGAUCUGGCCCUAACAAAACUAACUCGAUUACAUGAUGAAUAUCAUCCAACUCCUCACCGACCAGCGAGCCUACGAAGGAAUUACUCACUCCCGUCGGGGAGCAUCAUGGAAUUGGCGAUGGAGAAGGGUUGGUGAUGACGAAGAACGAAGACCCCCCUCUCCGGAGCCCCAAACGGACUCCAGAUCAGGCCUCCCGAUGAAGAACAGGAGGUGAUGGCAGCUCUGUCUCGUGGAUCGCGAUAAUUCUUUCUCCAGGAGGGGGCGCCCUGGUGGGUUGUGCCCACCCAGGUGCCCCCUCUGGUGGAUCUUGGCUCCAGAUAUUCUUUUUAUUGAUAUAAAAAUUCAUCGCAAAGUUUCGUUUCAUUCCGAGAACUUUUAUUUUUGCACAAAAACAACACCAUGGUAGUUCUGUUGAAAACAGCGUCAGUCCGGGGUUAGUUUCAUUCAAAUCAUGCAAAUUAGACUCCAAAACAAGAGGAAAGGCGUUAGGAAAAGUAGAUGCGUUAGAGACGUAUCAACUCCCCAAGCUUAAACCUUUGCUUGUCCUCAAGCAAUUCAGUUAAUAAACUGAAAAUUGAAAAAGAAAAACUUUUACGAACUCUUUUGCUCUUGUGUGCAUAAAUAAGCUUAAACAACACCCAUGUUUUCAGCCAACAUUAUAACUAACCAUGCCGACAAUAACUCUUUAAAAUUAUAUUAACUCAUAUCAAUAACAUAAUCAGCUAGCGAGCAAUAAUAAGAUACCUCAAAUGGCAACACGUUGUCAAAACAACCAUGAUAUAAUAUGACAAUAGUGGUAUCUGAUGUCGCUUGAAGCUACGUCGGUAUUUCUCCAAAGAGGAAGGGAUGAUGCAGCACAACGGCGGUAGGUAUUUCCCUCAGAUAUGAAACCAAGGUUAUUGAACCAGUAGGAGAACCAAGCAACACAACGUAAACAGCCCCUGCACACAGAUAACAAAUCCUCGCAACCCGACGUGUUAAAGGGGUUGUCAAUCCCUUUCGGGGUACGGCGCCACAAGUAGGCAAACGGACGUGAGAUAAAUUUGUAGUAAAUUGAUAGAUCGAACGCCAAAUAAAAUAAAUAAGAAAAAAUUGCAGCAAGGUAUUUUUGUAUUUUUGGUUUAAUAGAUCUGAAAAUAAAUGCAAGGAAAAAGUAGAUCGCAAAGGCAAAUAUAUGAGAAAGAGACCCGGGGGCCGUAGGUUUCACUAGUGGCUUCUCUCGAGAAAAAUAGAAAACGAUGGGUGAACAAAUUACUGUUGGGCAAUUGACAAAACUUCAAAUACUCAUGACGAUUGUCGGUGUCAAAACCGGCAGAUCUCGGGUAGGGGGUCCCAAGCUGCGUGUCAUGGAUCGAUGGGUAACAGGAGACAGGGGACACGAUGUUUACCCAGGUUCGGGCCCUCUUUAUCGAGGUAAUACCCUACUUCCUGCUUGAUUGAUCUUGAUGAAUAUAGGGUUACAAGAGUUGAUCUACCUCGAGAUCAUUUGUUGUGGUCUAAGACCUAAGGGUAUGAUGAGUAAUGUCAUAAUGAUCUAUCGACUAGCCUGGCCUUGGCUUAUAUAAUGCACCAGAGGCCUAGGAUAACAAGAGUCCUAGCCGAAUACGUUGGUGGAGAGGAGUCCUUGUCUUGAUCACCAAGUCUUGUGGAAUACUCCUUGUAUGCGGCAUGGGCUGCCUGAAGUGGCCCAUGAGUGAACCGCCAUGGGGGUCCUCGGCCCGAUCCACCUGGUCGGGAAACGAUGUGGUGAGUACCCCCUAGUCCAGGACCCCAUUAGUAGCCCCCUGAACCAGUCUUCAAGUUGGGGACGCUCCUCGAUCCUUCCGAACUGAUCUUCAUCUUCGGUCGUCGGUCUUGAAAACUGGUUCAACAAAUCUUCUCAUCUUCGAUCUUGAGGAUCGCCGAAGUGAAUCCGAAGGGUUUACACGUCGGGUAUUCGAGGAGCCCCUUUAAGUUCUCGGCCUUUAUCAAUGCCUUGGGAUUAUUUUUUACGCCACACCUCGGGUUUGAAGUUGUUCCCGUGCGGCGGUGUCCUCUUGCAUCCGAGCUCCAACGCCGGACUGCAUUUGAGAUAUCUUUUGCAGCCGAGCACCAACGCCGAACUAUAUCCGAGCUCCAACGCCGGACUAUAUCCGAGGUGUCAUAGAUCACCUUGGCUUGAAAAAGUUUGAAGGAGGUUAUCCGAGAUAAACGCUGAAAAGUUUCGUAUGGAAUGAGCCAUUCGAAUCCGGGCUUUAUGCCGGACCACUUCUGAGCUCCAACGAUGGUCAGCGUCCGAGGUGUCUUAAACUACCUCGGUCUUUUAGAAGAUUGAACGAAUUCAGCCGAGCUUAAUGCCGGAAAUGCCCUCCAUGGAGCCAGCCACUAGCGCCCGAGCUUUAUGCCGGACUGCUUCCGAGGUGGUGGACCACCCUGACCGCGGGCUGGUUUUUGUGAAUAUUUUUUAUUGGUGCAAUUUAUUCUCUGCCGAGAUAUAUAGCCAGUAUAUGUAUAUCUAGUAUCCCUCAAGGUGUGUGUCGGUCUAAAACCCGAGAUGCACCUGAAGGAAAACAUAAAACCGCUGAUCCUAGUAGCCCCUGAGACUCAGGUCGACUUGCAAAACCGUUCUGAGGAUCAACUCCUAGCUCGGCAGCAUACGUAGGAAUAGAAACGCAGUGUAAUAUAUUAGAAAUAAUGAUCGGCGGACAGGCCCCUGAGAGAGGGUUGUGAGAAGUCGCCGUGAUAUAUUAGCUUGAUGCUGGAUAAGUCCCAGAUGGUACUUAGUGUUGUCCGAAGACGCGCUUGCCCAUAGUUCGGUCAUGCCGAACACGGAGCACUUUGAAUUCUCUGCAUUGAAUAAGCAAUGCAGUAGCCCCCGAGACACUGGUUGGGUGGCAACACCAGAUCAGGGGAUCGAUGUACCCCUCUAAUAUUUAUUAAUAAUGAGCGCGAAGCCCAGUAGCCCCCGAGCCUUAAUGUGGGCACGGGUGGCCGAAUUAAGGAUCGAUAUCCGUUUGGCAGAAAAUUUGUUGUGUUUAACACAAACUUCUCGGAAAGAGAAUAAAGAUCUAUUAAAGGAGCUUAGAGCUGGUCGAAAUCCGAGCUCGCCAAGGUAGGCCCCAAGGGGUUUUAAAAGAUGGAUUGCUGUAAAUGGAUUUUACUCGCAAUUUUUAUGUGUAAUGAUUCUAUGUAUCCUAGUUCUUUACAUCAUUAAUGCUCGGAUCCGCAUUGCACAAAACUUUGUUGACCGACCAUCGGCUUCCACGUCCUCGGCCAGUAGCCGAGGAGUGUUUGUCCUACUUUAUAAAGCCUUUAUGAGGGCAAAGAUUUAUGACAAACAAGGAAAUUCGGCCAUACGGUUUUAUAAACAAAGGUACGCAGAGAGAUAUGUUAUAUUACUGUUUAACAUAAGAAAUGUCUUCCAAAGAAAAUAGUCCCGCUAUCGGUUCCUUUCUUUGGGUUGUCAUUCUAAGCAUGAUCAUGAAACCCCAGCUCCGAUCAAUGUGGGAGCAAAAUAUUGAGGAUUUAGUUUGGGGAAAGUUCUCGAACUAUGUGGUCUUUAGCGAACCUAAAUUUUCACUUCCGUCAUUGCCGACCAAUUAUAUCCUUUAAGAUGGCUAGCUUUCGGCUUCACCCAGUUUGAGGUACUAACCCGGAUGACUCAGUAGUAAAAAUCACAGAGGUGCUCCCUUUACCGCCUAGCCGAACAAUCGAGAACGUAGGGGUAAGCACAGGAGCCAGGCAACCCAGCUUGGCCAAAAUCUUAAGUCAAAUUGAUGCAUAUGUAUGGCUUUAUAACGAUGAUUACGGAAAGCAACCCUUGUAUAUUAAAUAAAAAUGCCGAUGAUAUGUUUAUUUUGACUCCAUUGUGACCGUUUAUCAGUUGAAAGUGGCCCAUCGUCGGCUUCUACCCCUAUGUAGAUCCUACGAAGGGUGUUUCCGCAAUAACAAGACAACCCUUAGCCGACGUCUCGGUGCCCGAAGGCGGUUGUGUUAGCGGAAACGAGGCAAUCAGAUAUGCGGGUGCUACCUCUUGAGCACUGCGUUGGUUUUCCCUUGAAGAGGAAAGGGUGAUGCAGCAAAGUAGCGUAAGUAUUUCACUCAAGUUUUGAGAACCAAGGUAUCAAUCCAGUAGGAGGCCACGCACGAGUCCCUCGCACCUACACAAACAAAUAAAUCCUCGCAACCAACGCGAUAAGGGGUUAUCAAUCCCUACACGGUCACUUACAGGAGUGAGAUCUGAUAGAUAUGAUAAGAUAAUAUUUUUGGUAUUUUUAUGAUAAAGAUGCAAAGUAAAGAAAGUAAAAUAAAAGCGGCGCCAGAAAUAGCUUGUUGUCGGGAGAUUAAUAUUAUGGAAAAUAGACCUGAGGGCCAUAGGUUUCACUAGUGGCUUCUCUCAAGAGCAUAAGUAUUUACGGUGGGUGAACGAAUUACUGUUGAGCAAUUGACAUAAUUGAGCAUAGUUAUGAGAAUAUCUAGGUAUGAUCAUGUAUAUAGGCAUCACGUCCGAGACAAGUAGACCGACUCCUGCCUGCAUCUACUACUAUUACUCCACACGUCGACCGCUAUCCAGCAUGCAUCUAGAGUAUUAAGUUCAUAAGAACAGAGUAAUGCUUUAAGCAAGAUGACAUGAUGUAGAGGGAUAAACUCAUGCAAUAUGAGAUAAACCCCAUCUUGUUAUCCUCGAUGGCAACAAUACAAUACGUGCCUUGCUGCCCCUACUGUCACUGGGAAAGGACACCGCAAGAUUGAACCCAAAGCUAAGCACUUCUCCCAUUGCAAGAAAGAUCAAUCUAGUAGGCCAAACCAAACUGAUAAUUCAAAGAGACUUGCAAAGAUAACCAAUCAUACAUAAAAGAAUUCAGAGAAGAUUCAAAUAUUGUUCAUAGAUAAACUUGAUCAUAAACCCACAAUUCAUUGGUCUCAACAAACACACCGCAAAAGAAGAUUACAUCGAAGAUCUCCAUGAGAGAGGGGGAGAACAUUGUAUUGAGAUCCAAAAAGAGAGAAGAAGCCAUCUAGCUAAUAACUAUGGACCCGAAGGUCUGAGGUAAACUACUCACACAUCAUCGGAGAGGCUAUGGUGUUGAUGUACAAGCCCUCCAUGAUCGAUGCCUCCUCCGGCGGAGCUCCGGAACAGGCCCCAAGAUGGGAUCUCACGGGUACAGAAGGUUGCGGCGGUGGAAUUAGGUUUUUGGCUCCGUAUCUGGUAGUUUGGGGGUACGUAGGUAUAUAUAGGAGGAAGGAGUACGUCGGUGGAGAAACAGGGGGCCCACGAGGGUGGAGGGAGCGCCCAGGGGGUAGGCGCGCCCCUACCUCGUGCCUUCCUGGUUGAUGUCUUGACGUAGGGUCCAAGUCCUCUGGAUCACGUUCGUUCCGAAAAUCACGUUCCCGAAGGUUUCAUUCCGUUUGGACUCCGUUUGAUAUUCUUUUUCUGCGAAACUCUGAAAUAGGCAAAAAACAGCAAUUCUGGGCUGGGCCUCCGGUUAAUAGGUUAGUCCCAAAAAUAAUAUAAAAGUGUAUAAUAAAGCCCAAUAAUGUCCAAAACAGAAUAUAAUAUAGCAUGGAGCAAUCAAAAAUUAUAGAUACGUUGGAGACGUAUCAAGCAUCCCCAAGCUUAAUUCCUGCUCGUCCUCGAGUAGGUAAAUGAUAAAAACAGAAUUUUUGAUGCGGAAUGCUACUUGGCAUAACUUCAAUGUAAUUCUUCUUAAUUGUGGUAUGAAUAUUCAGAUCCGAAAGAUUCAAGAUAAAAGUUCAAUAUUGACAUAAAAAUAAUAAUACUUCAAGCAUACUAACUAAGCAAUUAUGUCCUCUCAAAAUAACAUGGCCAAAGAAAGUUCAUCCCUACAAAAUCAUAUUGUUUAGUCAUGCGCCAUUUUCGUCACACAAGAAUGCUCUCAUCAUGCACAACCCCGAUGACAAGCCAAGCAAUUGUUUCAUACUUUAGUAAUCUCAAACCUUUUCAACUUUCACGCAAUACAUGAGCGUGAGCCAUGGAUAUAGCACUAUGGGUGGAAUAUAAUAUAAUGAUGGGGGUUAUGUGGAGAAGGCAAAAAGGAGAAAGUCUCACAUCAACAAGGCUAAUCAAUGAGCUAUGGAGAUGCCCAUCGAUUGAUGUUAAUGCAAGGAGUAGGGAUUGCCAUGCAACGGAUGCGCUAGAGCUAUAAAUAUAUGAAAGCUCAACAAAAGAAACUAAGUGGGUGUGCAUCCAACUUGCUUGCUCACGAAGACCUAGGGCACUUGAGGAGGCCCAUUGUUGGAAUAUACAAGCCAAGUUCUAUAAUGAAAAAUUCCCACUAGUAUAUGAAAAUGACAAAACAAGAGACUCUCUAUCAUGAAGAUCAUGGUGCUACUUUGAAGCACAAGUUCGGAAAAAGGAUAGUAGCAUUGUCCCUUCUCUCUUUUUCUCUCAUUUUUUUGGGCCUUCUUUUUUUAUGGCCUUUCUCUAUUUUUUUAUUCCUUGCUUGGGACAAUGCUCUAGAAAAUGAUGAUCAUCACACUUCUAUUUAUUUACAACUCAAUGAUUACAACUCGAUACUAGAACAAAGUAUGACUCUAUAUGAAUGCCUCUGGUGGUGUACCGGGAUAUGCAAUGAACCAAGAGUAACAUGUGUGAAAUAAUUAUGAACGGUGGCUUUGCCACAAAUACUAUGUCAACUACAUGAUCAUGCAUAGCAACAUGACAAUGAUGAACAUGUCAUGAUAAACGGAACGGUGGAAAGUUGCAUGGCAAUAUAUCUCGGAAUGGCUAUGGAAAUGCCAUAAUAGGUAGGUAUGGUGGCUGUUUUGAGGAAUAUAUAAGGAGGUUUAUGUGUGAAAGAGUGUAUCAUAUCACGGGGUUUGGAUGCACCGGAGAAGUUUGCACCAACUCUCAAUGUGAGAAAGGGCAAUGCACGGUACCGAAGAGGCUAGCAAUGAUGGAAAGGUGAGAGUGCAUAUAAUCCAUGGACUCAACAUUAGUCAUAAAGAACUCACAUACUUAUUGCAAAAAUCUACAAGUCAUCAAAAACCAAGCAUUACGCGCAUGCUCCUGGGGGGUAGAUUGGUAGGAAAAGACCAUCGCUCGUCCCCGACCGCCACUCAUAAGGAAGACACUCAAAGAACACCUCAUGUUUCAAAUUUGUUACAUAACGUUUACCAUACGUGCAUGCUACGGGACUUGCAAACUUCAACACAAGUAUUUCUCAAAUUCACAACUACUCAACUAGCACAACUUUGAUAUCACUACCUCCAUGUCUCAAAACAAUCAUCAAGCAUCAAACUUCUCUUAGUAGUCAACACACUCAUAAAAAAGUUUUUACUAGUCUUGAAUACCUAGCAUAUUAGGAUUAUUUAAGCAAAUUACCAUGCUAUUUAAGACUCUCAAAAUAAUAUAAGUGAAGCAUGAGAGAAUAAUAGUUUCUAUAAAACAAAUCCACCACCGUGCUCUAAAAGAUAUAAGUGAAGUACUAGAGCAAAGACUAUAUAACUCAAAAGAUAUAAGUGAAGCACAUAGAGUAUUCUAAUAGUUUCCGAAUCAUGUGUGUCUCUCUCAAAAGGUGUGUACAGCAAAUAUGAUUGUGGUAAACUAAAAAGCAAAGACUCAAAUCAUACAAGACGCUCCAAGCAAAACACAUAUCAUGUGGUGAAUAAAAAUAUAGCUCCAAGUAAAGUUACCGAUGGAAGUAGACGAAAGAGGGGAUGCCUUCCGGGGCAUCCCCAAGCUUUGGAUUUUAGGUGUCCUUAGAUUAUCUUGGGGUGCCAUGGGCAUCCCCAAGCUUAGGCUCUUGCCGCUCCUUGUUCCAUAAUCCAUCAAAUCUUUCACCCAAAACUUGAAAACUUCACAAUACAAAACUCAGCAGAAAAUCUCGUGAGCUCCGUUAGCGAAAGAAAACAAAAGACCACUUCAAGGUACUGUAAUGAACUCAUUCUUUAUUUAUAUUGGUGUUAAACCUAGUGUAUUCCAACUUCUCUAUGGUUUAUAAACUAUUUUACUAGCCAUAGAUUCAUCAAAAUAAGCAAACAACACACGAAUAACAGAAUCUGUCAAAAACAGAACAGUCUGUAGUAAUCUGUAACUAACGCAAACUUCUGGAAAUCCCAAAUUCAGACAAAAUAGGACUACCUAGACAAUUUGUUUAUUGAUCAGCAGAAAUUGGAAUCAAUAUUUUAUCACGUUCCGGUGAUUUUUAACAAUUGUUUUCGUGAACAGAAAGUUUCUGGAAUUUAGAGCAAGAUCAAAUAACUAUCAUCCAAGAAGAUCCUAUAGGUUUAACUUGGCACAAACACUAAUUAAAACAUAAGAACAAAUCUAACCAGAGGCUAGAACAAAGAUUUAUUGAAUAGCAUCAAGGAAAAAUAUUGGUUUGUCUCCCAACAAGCGCUUUUUUUAAAGCCUUUUAGCUAGGCAUUGAUAAUUUUAAUGAUGCUCACAUGAAAGACAAGAAUUGAAGCACAAAGAGAGCAUCAUAAAACACAUGACAAACACAUCUAAGUCUAACAUACUUCCUAUGCAUAGGCAUCUUAUAGAAAAUCAAAUUAUCAUAGCAAGCAAAAACUAGCAUAUGCAAGGAAGCGGAAAGGAACAAUAGCAAUCUCAACAUAACGAGAGGUAAUUUAGUAACAUGAAAAUUUCUAUAAACAUAUUUUCCUAUAUCAUAAUAAUUACAUGUAGGAUCAUAACAAAAUUCAACAAUAAAGCUAUCAAAUAACAUAUUCUCAACACGAUCCACAUGCAUGCGAAGUUGACACUCUUCCAAAAUAGUGGGAUUAUCAUUAACUAAAGUCAUGAUUUCUCCAAGCCCACUUUUAUCAAAAAUUUCAUAAGAUUGAAUAUUAUCCAAAUAUGUGCGAUCUAAAGUUGACACUCUUCCAAACCCACUUUCAAUAUUAUUUCAAACACUAUUAUCAAUCUUAUAUUCGUCAUGGGGCUUAAAUAAAUUUUCAAGAUCAUAAGAAGAAUCUCCCCAAUCAUGAUUAUUGCAACAGGUAGUGGACAUAGCAAAACUAGCAUCCCCAAGCUUAGGGUUUUGCAUAUUAUUAGCAUAAUUUACAUCAAUAUAAUUUAUAAUAAAAUCAUUGCAAUCAUGCUUUUUAGUCAAAGAUCUAUCGUGAAUCACUUCAUAAAGCACUUCAUCACAAUUUUCAGAUUCACGGAUUUCAAGCAAAACCUUAUAAAGAUAAUCUAGUGCAUCCAAAUCACUAGGAAUUGGUUCAACAUAAUUGGAUCUCUUAAAAAGAUUGGCAAGCGGAUGAGGAUCCAUAGAUAUUAGCUUCUCUGUUUAGGAUAAAUACUCAACUAUUUCAACCAAACGUACAAACGAGCCAAGUAAGACAUCAAGGCAAACGAAAAGACGAACGGAAAAGAGAGCGGGAAUAAAACGGCAAGGGUGAAGUGGGGGAGAGGAAAACGAGAGGCAAAUGGCAAAUAAUGUAAUGCGGGAGAUAAGGGUUUGUGAUGGGUACUUGGUAUGUUGACUUUUGCAUAGACUCCCCGGCAACGGCGCCAGAAAUCCUUCUUGCUACCUCUUGAGCACUGCGUUGGUUUUCCCUUGAAGAGGAAAGGGUGAUGCAGCAAAGUAGCGUAAGUAUUUCCCUCAGUUUUUGAGAACCAAGGUAUCAAUCCAGUAGGAGGCCACGCACGAGUCCCUCGCACCUACACAAACAAAUAAAUCCUCGCAACCAACGCGAUAAGGGGUUGUCAAUCCCUACACGGUCACUUACGAGAGUGAGAUCUGAUAGAUAUGAUAAGAUAAUAUUUGAUAUUUUUAUGAUAAAGAUGCAAAGUAAAGAAAGUAAAAUAAAAGCGGCGCCAGAAAUAGCUUGUUGUCGGGAGAUUAAUAUGAUGGAAAAUAGACCCGGGGGCCAUAGGUUUCACUAGUGGCUUCUCUCAAGAGCAUAAGUAUUUACGGUGGGUGAACGAAUUACUGUUGAGCAAUUGACAGAAUUGAGCGUAGUUAUGAGAAUAUCUAGGUAUGAUCAUGUAUAUAGGCAUCACGCCCGAGACAAGUAGACCGACUCCUGCCUGCAUCUACUACUAUUACUCCACACAUCGACCGCUAUCCAGCAUGCAUCUAGAGUAUUAAGUUCAUAAGAACAGAGUAAUGCUUUAAGCAAGAUGACAUGAUGUAGAGGGAUAAACUCAGGCAAUAUGAUAUAAACCCCAUCUUGUUAUCCUCGAUGGCAACAAUACAAUACGUGCCUUGCUGCCCCUACUGUCACUGGGAAAGGACACCGCAAGAUUGAACCCAAAGCUAAGGACUUCUCCCAUUGCAAGAAAGAUCAAUCUAGCAGGCCAAACCAAACUGAUAAUUCGAAGAGACUUGCAAAGAUAACCAAUCAUACAUAAAAGAAUUCAGAGAAGAUUCAAAUAUUGUUCAUAGAUAAACUUGAUCAUAAACCCACAAUUCAUCGGUCUCAACAAACACACCGCAAAAGAAGAUUACAUCGAAUAGAUCUCCACGAGAGAGGGGGAGAACAUUGUAUUGAGAUCCAAAAAGAGAGAAGAAGCCAUCUAGCUAAUAACUAUGGACCCCGAAGGUCUGAGGUAAACUACUCACACAUCAUCGGAGAGGCUAUGGUGUUGAUGUAGAAGCUCUCCGUGAUCGAUGCCCCCUCCGGCGGACCUCCGAAACAGGCCCCAAGAUGGGAUCUUACGGGUACAGAAGGUUGCGGCGGUGGAAUUAGGUUUUUGGCUCCGUAUCUGGUAGUUUGGGGGUACGUAGGUAUAUAUAGGAGGAAGGAGUACGUCGGUGGAGCAACAGGGGGCCCACGAGGGUGGAGGGCGCGCCCAGGGGGGUAGGCGUGCCCCCCUACCUCGUGCCUUCCUGGUUGAUCUCUUGACGUAGGGUCCAAGUCCUCUGGAUCACGUUCGUUCCGAAAAUCAUGUUCCCGAAGGUUUCAUUCCGUUUGGACUCCGUUUGAUAUUCUUUUUCUGCGAAACUCUGAAAUAGGCAAAAAACAGCAAUUCUGGGCUGGGCCUCCGGUUAAUAGGUUAGUCCCAAAAAUAAUAUAAAAGUGUAUAAUAAAGCCUAAUAAUGUCCAAAAUAGAAUAUAAUAUAGCAUGGAGCAAUCAAAAAUUAUAGAUACGUUGGAGACGUAUCAGCGGGCUUUAUAACUUUCACUUAGUCAUAGGAGCUUUAAACUGGGGAAGCUAGCUACGAGCCCCCGGUUAGUGUUCGGCGACAGCCGAGGUCAAGUCGUAAACACUUCGGCCAAUGUUAUGAACGGCCCGUCAUUUAACACCGUCAUCGGAUCGCUGACCAGUUUAUGCUUAUUGUGACAGUCAGUUUUUGGCUUUCUCCACUGAGGUGCUUAACCAUGCGAGCUGGAAGCACAAUCGCAGUGGUUCUCCCUUUGCACACCUAGCCGAACAAAGCGGAACGUAGGAGGCAAGCACAGGAGCCGGGCAACCCAACCAUUGACCGAAGACACAAUUCGAAACCGAUGCAUAUAUAGCAAUAUCCGAGAAUGUUUUUGCCGAAUCUCUAAAGGUGUCCGGCGUUGCACUGCGAGACUUAUGCUGGAAACACACAAAUAGUUUAAAAGUGCCAUAGGCUUGGAAAACCAAAAAACUUCAGUAAAAACUUGACGUCCGAGCUAGAUCAAGUGUUCGGUGCCAAUCCGAAAAUUGGAGAAAAAAGAAAAACUUGUGCUUAUGUCGUGCUUUAACAUGACACAUCCGAUCUCAAGACUUUCAACCGGGUCAGCCUACGGCUUGAAGCUCCUUAUCCCGAAGGCGGAGUACUUCUCCGAGGCCAGUUUAGCGAACUAAACUCGAGCUGCUUUUAGAGAGAAGACAGUCUAUCCGGCUAUUGACCAUACACUCGAGUCGGAAAAGGAGCGGUAGAAAAAGACUUUGCAACGACCAAGAAGAAAACACAUUUACUAUAAAACAGCUCAUACUAAUUUAAGAGCCCCCAAGUGACUUGGGUAAAAGAAUUUUAUUUAUAAUGAUUGUAUGUACCGAAGUACUUAUAUCAUAUCUGUAUUCACCCGAACUUUAAACGCGUCUUAACCGACUGUCGGCUUCUCCCUCUUCGGUCAAGGGCCGAAAAGUGUUAUGCACUCCACCUGUCGAGAAUAUCGACGGUGUUUCCGAUAACCAGGCAAUCAGGCCAUAAGGCUGUAACAGACAAAGCAUGCUCAGGGAACUUAUGCUAUAUUACUGACGAAGUGUAAGAAGCAUCUUCGAAGAAAAUAGUACCCCCACCGAUACCUUUCUUCGGUUGCUCAUUGUUACUAUGAGACUUGUGCAAUUGAUUUUUUGUACUCAUGAGUUCCGUUGUGUGCCGACCAUGAUUGAAAACAAUAAGAGCGCUAGCUUUUGGCUUCACCCAGUCUGAGGUCCGAGCUCGGAUGACCCGACCGUGACAAUCGCAGAGGUGCUCCCUUUACUCCCUAGCCAAACAAUCGAGAAUGUAGGGGUAAACACAGGAGCAAGGCAACCCAGCUUGCGGAACACUUAAGUCAAUAUGGUGCAUAUUGUGGCUUAAUACACGAACAAGAAACGAAGCCAUACAAGUAUAAUCAUAUGCAAGAGGAAAGGCUUCAUAAAGGAAGCCCCCAAGUAAACGGGGUAUUUAAAUUUGUGUGUCACAAAUAAAGUUUUGACAAGGAAGUUUUUCACAAACAACUUUUUGCCAAAAAAGUAUAAUGCUUGGUCGAACCGAACAAAAUUUAAAACUGAAAGUCUUUGAGCAUGAAAGCGACUUAGCUGGUUAAUGUGCUCGGUGUUGAUGACGCGAUUCGGGCUUGUGGCGGGACGAAGCGCACAUUGAUCUGUGACAGAUCCGACAAGGUUCGCAGUCCUCGGCAUGGCCAAGGUCCCAGCCCCCAAGCCCGAGGUGUCUGAUACGUCUUCAACGUAUCUAUAAUUUAUGAAGUAUUCAUGCUAUUAUAUUAUCUGUUUUGGACAUUAAUGGGCUUUACUAAGCACUUUUAUAUGAUUUUUGGGACUAACCUAUUAACCCAGAGCCCAGUGCCAGUUUCUGUUUUUUCCCUUGUUUUCAGUGUUUCGUAGAAAAAGAAUAUCAAACGGAGUCCAAACGGAAUGAAACCUUCGGGAGAGUUAUUUUUGGAACGGAAGCAAUCCAGAAGACUUGGGGUGUACGUAAGGGAAGCAACGAGGAAGGCACGAGGCAGGGGGCGCGCCCUCCACCCUCGUGGGCCCCUCGUGGCUCCCCUGACGUAUUUCUUCCUCCUAUAUAUACCAAUAUACCCUAAAACCCUCGGGGAACAGAAGAGAUCGGGAGUUCCGCCGCCGCAAGCCUCUGUAGCCACCAAAACCCAAUCUGGACCCUGUUCCAGCACCCUGCCGGAGGGGGGAACCCUCACCGGUGGCCAUCUUCAUCAUCCCGGCAAUCUCCAUGAUGAGGAGGGAGUAGUUCACCCUCGGGGCUGAGGGUAUGUACCAGUAGCUAUGUGUUUGAUCUCUCUCUCUCUCUCUCAUGUUCUUGAGGUGAUACGAUCUUGAUGUAUCGCGAGCUUUGCUACUAUAGUUGGAUCUUAUGAUGUUUCUCCCCCUCUACUCUCUUGUAAUGGAUUGAGUUUUCCCUUUGAAGUAAUCUUAUCGGAUUGAGUCUUUAAGGAUUUGAGAACACUUUUAUCAUUAGCUACCUUGCUGUUUUUAUAUUUUUCAGAUUACAAAAACAUAUAUCUACCAUCCAUAUUGCACUUGUAUCACCAUCUCUUCACCGAACUAGUGCACCUAUACAAUUUACCAUUGUAUUGGGUGUGUUGGGGACACAAGAGACUCUUUGUUAUUUGGUUGCAGGGUUGUUUGAGAGAGACCAUCUUCAUCCUAUGCCUCCCAUGGAUUGAUAAACCUUAGGUCAUCCACUUGAGGGAAAUUUGCUACUGUCCUACAAACCUCUGCACUUGGAGGCCCAACAACGUCUACAAGAAGAAGGUUGCGUAGUAGACAUCAAGCAGUUUCUGGCGCCGUUGCCGGGGAGGUGAGUGCUUGAAGGUAUAUCUUUAGAUCUUGCAAUCGAAUCUUUUUGUUUCUUGUUUUAUCACUAGUUUAGUCUAUAAAAUAAAACUACAAAAAAAUGGAAUUGAGUUUGUCUCAUACGCUUCAUCUUUUUAAUAUCUUUCGUGAGAAUGAUGGGAAGGAAAAAUGUGCUCAAGUGCUAGAAGAAGAAGUCUAUAAAAUGUUUGGCAUUAAAUCUUUGAAUGAUGAGCAUGAUUGCAAUGUUGUUAGUAUGAAUUCUUUGAAUAGCCAUGAUGCUAAUGAUAUGCAAAGCCACAAGCUUGGGGAAGCUAUGUUUGAUGAAGAUGAUAUUUUUUGUCCCCCAAGCUUUGAUGAGCAAAUUUACUAUGAUGAAAGCAUGCCUCCUAUCUAUGAUGAUUAUUGUGAUGACACGUAUGCUUUAAAGAAUAAUGAUAACCAUGAAACUUGUCAUCUUGAUCUUAAUUUUCAAUCACAUGAUAGUUAUUUUGUUGAGUUUGCUCCCACUACUAUUGAUGAGAAUAAAUUUGCUUACGUGGAGUGUAGGAAAAUUUCUAUGCAUGUAGAUCAUGAAAACAAUGCUUUAGGUGCUGGUUAUAUUGUUGAAUUCAUUCAUGAUGCUACUGAAAAUUAUUAUGAGGGAGGAACAUAUGCUUGUAGGAAUUGCAAUAAUAUCAAGUUUCCUCUCUAUGUGCUUAAAGUUUUGAAGUUAUGCUUGUUUUGCCUUCCUAUGCUAGUUGAUUAUUGUUCCCAUAAGUUAUUUGCUCACAAAAUCCCUAUUCAUAGGAAGUGGGUUAGACUUAAAUGUGCUAGUCAUAUUCUUCAUGAUGCUCUCUUUAUGUUUCAAUUCUUAUGUUUUAUGUGAGCAUCAUUGAAAUCAUCAUGCCUAACUAGGGGCGUUAAACGAUAGCGCUUGUUGGGAGGCAACCCAACUUUAUUUUAGUUUCUUGCUUUUUGGUUCUGUUUAGGAAUAAAUAAUCUAUCUAGCCUCUGGUUAGAUGUGGUUUUAUGUUUUAAUUAGUGUUUGUGCCAAGUAAGACCUAUAGGAUCUUCUUGGGUGAUAGUUAUUUGAUCCUGCUGAAAAUUCCAGAAACUUUCUGUUCACGAAAAAAAAAAUUAAAAUCACCAGAACGUGAUAAAAUAUUGAUUCCAAUUGCAGAAGAUCAAUAAACAAAUUAUUUAGGUCUUCCUAUUUUGGCUGAAUUUUUGGAGUUCCAGAAGUUUGCGUUAGUUACAGAUUACUACAGACUGUUCUGUUUUUGACAGAUUCUGUUUUUUGUGUGUUGUUUGCUUAUUUUGAUGAAUCUAUGGCUAGUAAAAUAGUUUAUAAACCAUAGACAAGUUGGAAUACAGUAGGUUUAACACCAAUAUAAAUAAAUAAUAAGUUCAAUACAGUACUUUGAAGAGGUGUUUUGUUUUCUUUCGCUAACGGAGCUUACGAGUUUUCUGUUGAGUUUUGUGUUGUGAAGUUUUCAAGUUUUGGGUGAAGAUUCGAUGGACUACGGAAUAAGGAGUGGCAAGAGCCUAAGCUUGGUGAUUCCCAAGGCACCCCAAGGUAAUAUUCAAGGACAACCAAGAGCCUAAGCUUGGGGAUGCCCCGGAUGGCAUCCCCUCUUUCGUCUUCGUUCAUCGGUAACUUUACUUGGAGCUAUAUUUUUAUUCACCACAUGAUAUGUGUUUUGCUUGGAGCGUCAUUUUAUUUUCUUUUGUUUUGCUUGCUGUAUGAAUAAAAUACCAAGAUCUGAAAAUUCUUAAAUGAGAGAGAGUCUUCACAUAGCUACAUAAUUAUUUAACUACUCAUUGAUCUUCACUCAUAUCUUUUUGGAGUAGUUUGUCAUUUACUCGUGUGCUUCACUUAUAUCCUAUGAGUAAAUGGUUGAAUGAUUUGAAUGUCAUAAAUCUGAAAUUAUACAUGUUUCAUAUGCUUAUCCCAUGGGGAGUAAUGACUUUACAUAUAAGAAGUAGAGGUGGUAAAUUUUUUGAAGGUUAGCAAACAUUGUAUUGGUCACUUGAACAAUUCAUGAAAGAAUAUUGAAGGAAGAGAGAUUUCACAUAUAAAUAUACUAUCUUGGACAUCUUCUAUGAUUGUGAGCCCCAUUAAUUAUUUUCAAACCUGAGCGAAUUAGUUGAAGUUGGACAAGGAAGACAACAUAAUGAGUUAUGCUUGGGUAUAUUUGUACAGAAGUUAUAUUGUUAUGGAUCCUCUAACAUGUGGUGCUUGCUAUUUAGAAUCCUUUGCUAGCCAAAAUAUCUGUACUAAGCGGGAAUACUGCUUGUGCAUCCAAAUUCCUUGAACCAAGUUUCUUCCAUGAGUGUCCACCAUAUCUACCUAUAUGCGGUAUUUACCUGCCAUUCCAAGUAAAUUUGCAUGUGCCAAACUCUAAACCUUCAAAUAAUAAUCUGUUUUGUAUGCCUGAAUCGCUCAUGUAGCGACUAGGGGCUAGCAGUAUCUUCCAUGCUAGGUGGGUUAUUCUCACGAUGAGUGGACACCGCUCAUCAUUCACGAGAAAAUGGCUGGUAACUCGGAUGCCCAGUCCCAUGAUCAAAAGAUCGAAAUCAAAUCAAAAAUAAUUACAAACAAAACUCCCCCAGGUUUGAUGUUAGUUGGAGGCACCCGUUGUUUCGAGCAAGCCAUGGAUUGAUGAUUGUUGGUGGAGGGGGAGUAAAAAUCUUUACCUUUCUGUUUGGGAACCGCCUAUAAUGUAUGUAGUAUGGAAGAUAUUGGGAACUCUUGGUCGUUAUGUUGACAAUGAAAGCAUACCUCUCAAAAUUAUUUUCAUCUCUGUUUUUGCUUCGAGCUCUGGCACCUCUGCAAAUCCCUGCUUCCCUCUGCGAAGGGCCUAUCUUUUACUUUUAUGCAAGAGUCAGUAGUAUUCCUUCUCAUUCCAACCUACUCUUUAGUUGGCAAGCAUCAUAUAUUGGAAAGAUCUAAGCAUAUAUGGCCAUUCAAAUAUAUUUGAUCAUGAAUUAUUACUGUUGACAUUACCCUUGAGGUAAAAGGUUGGGAGGCGAAACAUUAAGCCCCUAUCUUUCUCUGUGUUCGAUGAAUACUAUUUGUUCUAAAAAUAUGCUUUGAGUGGUAGCAAUCAUGGAAGACUAAAUGAUAGUUGAGUAUGUGGAGUUUGCUAAAUCAAAGCUCUGACAUAGACUCUUCCUGAAAAUAAGAUGAAUUGUAAUUGUUUGAUGACUAAUAACACGGUUUGUUAGUUUUCAAGAAAGUUUAUGAUCUAUACUUUAACAUGUGAAUAGUUUGUUACUUGAUCAUGCAAAGUUCUAUGAGUUGAGCUACUGUUAUGAUAUAUAAUGAUGCUAGAAAAGGUGAUUGAAAUUAUCAUUGAUCAAACUUGUGCACCUGCUAGCAUUCACACUUCAUAAAUUCUUUCUUUUAUCAUUUACCUACUCGAGGACGAGCAGGAAUUAAGCUUGGGGAUGCUGAUACGUCUUCAACGUAUCUAUAAUUUAUGAAGUAUUCAUGCUAUUAUAUUAUCUAUUUUGGACGUUAAUGGGCUUUACUAAGCACUUUUAUAUGAUUUUUGGGACUAACCUAUUAACCCAGAGCCCAGUGCCAGUUUCUGUUUUUUCCCUUGUUUCAGUGUUUCGCAGAAAAAGAAUAUCAAACGAAGUCCAAACGGAACGAAACCUUCGGGAGAGUUAUUUUUGGAACGGAAGCAAUCCAGAAGACUUGGGGUCUACGUAAGGGAAGCAACGAGGAAGGCACGAGGCAGGGGGCACGCCCUCCACCCUCGUGGGCCCCUCGUGGCUGCCCUAACGUAUUUCUUCCUCCUAUAUAUACCAAUAUACCCUAAAACCAUCGGGGAACAGAAGAGAUCGGGAGUUCCGCCGCCGCAAGCCUCUGUAGCCACCAAAACCCAAUCGGGACCCCGUUCCGGCACCCUGCCGGAGGGGGGAACCCUCACCGGUGGCCAUCUUCAUCAUCCCGGCGAUCUCCAUGACGAGGAGGGAGUAGUUCACCCUCGGGGCCGAGGGUAUGUACCAGUAGCUAUGUGUUUGAUCUCUCUCUCGUGUUCUUGAGGUGAUACGAUCUUGAUGUGUCGCGAGCUUUGCUACUAUAGUUGGAUCUUAUGAUGUUUCUCCCCCUCUACCCUCUUGUAAUGGAUUGAGUUUUCCCUUUGAAGUAAUCUUAUCGGAUUGAGUCUUUAAGGAUUUGAGAACACUUGAUGUAUGUCUUGCGUGGGAUAACCGUGGUGGUGAUCAACUUGCGGGUUCCGCCCAUGAACCUAUGCAUAGGGGUUGGCACACGUUUUCGUCAUGACUCUCCGAUAGAAACUUUGGGGCACUCUUUGAGGUUCUAUGUGUUGGUUGAAUAGAUGAAUUUGAGAUUGUGUGAUGCAUAUCGUAUAAUCAUACCCACGGAUACUUGAGGUGACAUUGGAGUAUCUAGGUGACAUUAGGGUUUUGGUUGAUGUGUGUCUUAAGGUGUUAUUUUACUACGAACUCUAGGGCUGUUUGUGACACUUAUAGGAAUAGCCCAAUGGAUUGAUCGGAAAGAAUAACUUUGAGGUGGUUUCGUACCGUACAAUAAUCUCUUCGUUUGUUCUCCGCUAUUAGUGACUUUGGAGUGACCCUUUGUUGCAUGUUGAGGGAUAUCUAUAUGAUCCAAUUAUGUUAUCAUUGUUGAGAGAACUUGCACUAGUGAAAGUAUGAACCCUAGGCCUUGUUUCCUAGCAUUGCAAUACCGUUUACGCUCACUUUUAUCAUUAGUUACCUUGCUGUUUUUAUAUUUUCAGAUUACAAAAACAUAUAUCUACCAUCCAUAUUGCACUUGUAUCACCAUCUCUUCGCCGAACUAGUGCACCUAUACAAUUUACCAUUGUAUUGGGUGUGUUGGGGACACAAGAGACUCUUUGUUAUUUGGUUGCAGGGUUGUUUGAGAGAGACCAUCUUCAUCCUACGCCUCCCACGGAUUGAUAAACCUUAGGUCAUCCACUUGAGGGAAAUUUGCUACUGUCCUACAAACCUCUGCACUUGGAGGCCCAACAACGUCUACAAGAAGAAGGUUGCGUAGUAGACAUCAGUGUCCAAGCAAGGAGUUCGGCACUCCGGAGUAGUGACACAGCUCGGCCGAUGUGGUAAGGCGAAGCCCCCAGUCUAGCCGAGCUGGCGGAGUUGGUCGGCAAGGUGACAAUGAAGCCCCCACGCCAGUCGACCUGUUCAGCAUGGUGGACGUCAGUUUGAUGAAGCGACGACGCUGCGCGGCCGAUGUGGCGAGAUGAAGUUCUCGGUCCAGUUAACAUGGCGAAGCUGUGAUCGGCGGAUGCCGAAGUCUAAUGUGGGUCGGCUGGUGAUGCCGAAGUGACCGCGUAACGCAGUCAAAAUCGAUUACCUGCACACAUAAAAUAGUGCGGUUCAAAAAUAAUAUAUAUAUAUAUAAUCCUUGCAUAAUUGCUUUAUGCAAAAAUAAUUUAUUUAAAGAGAUGUGGCCUGGCGCCGAAGCCAAUGCUGAUGCAGGGUGUCGGCGUGACACAGUGAAGGCGUGACAAAGCCUUUGCAAGGCGGUCCGGGCUCUAGAUGCCGCGUUCGCCGAACUGCGGACGGGGAAUGGACCGAACCAUCGCGCAACCAUCGUUAAUGCGGCCAUCAUUUGACAGACCUGUGUACAGAUGAUGGAACAAACCAGAGUAAUAAUUUUUCGAAAAAAUAAACCCAAGCAAGAAAAAAUUACUAGGAUUAAUAGCACCUGGUUUAUCUGUUGUAGCAAUCUGAAAAAAGGUUACUCCCAAAAUUGGGACUUGAUCCGCACACCCAUUGCCUGAUGAGCGAUGGAGCGGCGGCAUGGCGAUGCUGGCAAAGGUUGGCCUACCGAGGCAAAGCCCCCGGUCCAGCUAACGUGACGAAGCUGGUCGGUUGACGACACCGAAGUCUCCGGAGUAGGCCGAUGAAGGGAUGGUGAAGCCCCCGGUCCAGACAAGGAGACGGAGCAGGUCGGUAAGGAGAUGUUGCAGCUGCCAUGUGAUGUGUUGAAGUAGUUCGGCGUGAUGGACAUCGGCUCGAUGAAGCAACGGUGCAGACAUGCCGAUGCAGGUCUUAACUUGUGACGUGGUCAAUGCUGGCUUGAUGAAGUGGCCGUGAGGCGAUGCUGGUGUGCCCGCUCCGUGUAAUCCGUGGGCGGCGAUGUUGGUGAUGAUUUAUCCUUCGCGAUGCCGAACUCUUGUUCGGCUUGCCGAGAUGAUGAUCCGAAGAAGUUGAGCUCGGCUCAACAAAGCGACGACGUGUGAGCGCAGGUCGGCAGCCGUAGAGCAACGUUGUCGGGCUGGUUUGACACCGGUGCGAUGGUGAAGAUCAUAUUGGAAAAGCUUUAAAAUUAGCGGGAUGUGUUUGGGAAGAAAACACAAUACCCCAUACGAAAAUUCCUUCAAAAAGGAUGUCCGAAAUCCCGUUCAUAAAAAGAUGAACUCGGGUCGGAUUCGUUCUCGCGCAGAAAACAGAUCUGAAAAGUGAUGCACUAAUUGGAAGGUUACCGGAGUUUGGACGGUCGGAUCGAGCCAAAAUUUUGAGGGAUGGUAGAUAUGGGAAUUCCGCAGCAGAUGAACGGUUGGAUCUUCCAAAGGACCUCCGAGCUAGGCUCUAGAGACCACGCCCUAAACUCGUCCAGAUUCCCGUCCAUAUUUGACAGGGCUCCGGUAUAUCGUAGAUUGCUAGAGAUUCCUUCAUCGGAACUCGACGCAAUUUUCCCGGGUUGUUGUAGACUCAAUUCCGCACAAUUCCACUGAAGCAAUUGUUAAAACGACACUCGAGGAGGCGGUGGCGGCGGAUACAAGUUCGCUGUUUGGAAAAACAGCACAGUCGCCCGAGGGCAAUGCUGACGUUGAGCUCCCGAGCUCCAUGGAUGAUUCCUCCAUGAUCUUGAUAGAGAUCGGAGUUGAUGUUGAUGAAGGCCCUCGUCCGAACAUGAUGAUUGGAGGUUGGGCACAGUCCUCGGUCAAGCCAAGGUGACCAGUCGAGGGGGCGACGAAGACGCCGACGUUGCAGUUUAUCUGCAGACGAGCCAUUGAUCCUUUUGCCGACCACACAGCGGAACUCUCAAUGAAAGCAUCAUUUUCACCCUCCGAAAUAUUGGGACGCCUUCUACCUAAAGUUGACUCUUCUCCAGUCCCUUUUUCAUCAAUUUUAACUUUACUAAACAAGGAAUCAAUAGAAGAAACACCAAUCAUUUUAAGAUCUUCGUCACUUUUGCGAAAGAAAUCACUAGAAAACGCUUUUUCUAAAAAUUCCCUUUUAGCUCUAAGCAUAGUGGUUUUUUCUUACUUUCAUCCAUACAAACAUAAAGAGCUUCAAUUGAUUCAUCUACUUUAGGCACACAAAUUUUCAUCUUGAGAUUUUCCACAUCAUGAGCAAUUCUAUCAACACUUCUAGACAAACCAUCAAUCUUACUCAACUUUUCUUCUAUGGAAGUGUUGAAAACUUUUUGCAUGUUGAUAAAUUCUUUAAUAUUAUUCUCAAGAUCAGAGGUGUUCCUAUUAUUAUUAUAAGAUUGGUUUCCAUAGGAAUUACAAUAAUUAUUAUAGGAAUUACUAGGAAAAGGCCUAGGAUUAAAAUUACCUCUAUAAGCAUUGUUAUUGAAAUUAUUUGAAGUAUUAUUGUUUUUAUGUCAACAUUGAACUUUUAUCUUGAAUCUUUUUGAUCUAAAUAUUCAUGCCACAAUAAAAAGAAUUACAUUGAAAAUUAUGCUAAGAAGCAUUCCACAUCAAAAAUUCUGUUUUUAUCAUUUACCUACUCGAGGACGAGCGGGAAUUAAGCUGGGGGAUUCUUGAUACGUCUCCAACGUAUCUAUCAUUUUUGAUUGUUCCAUGCUAUUAUAUAUUCUGUUUUGGAUGUUUAAUGGGCUUAUUUAUACACUUUUAUAUUAUUUUUUGGGACUAACCUAUUAACCGGAGGCCCAGCCCAAAUUGUUGUUUUUUGCCUAUUUCAGUGUUUCGCUGAAAAAGAAUAUCAAACGGAGUCCAAACGGAAUGAAACCUUCGGGGCGUGAUUUUUGGAACAAACGUGAUCCAGAGGACUUGGAGUGGACGUCAAGCAACCAACGAGGAGGCCACGAGGCAGGGGGCGCGCCUACCCCCCUGGGCGCGCCCUCCAGCCUCGUGGGCCCCUCGUGGCUCCACCGACCUACUUCUUCCUCCUAUAUAUACCUACGUACCCCAAACCAUCAAGGAGCACCACGAAAACCUAAUUCCACCGCCGCAACCUUCUGUACCCAUGAGAUCCCAUCUUGGGGCCUUUUCCGGUGCUCCGCUGGAGGGGCAUUGAUCCCGGAGGGCUUCUACAUCAACACCAUAGCCUCUCCGAUGAUGUGUGAGUAGUUUACCUCAGACCUUCGGGUCCAUAGUUAUUAGCUAGAUGGCUUCUCCUCUCUCUUUGGAUCUCAAUACCAAGUUCUCCUCGAUUCUCUUGGAGAUCUAUUCGAUGUAAUCUUCUUUUGCGGUGUAUUUGUCGAGAUCCGAUGAAUUGUGGGUUUAUGAUCAAGAUUAUCUAUGAACAAUAUUUGAAUCUUCUCUGAAUUCUUUUAUGUGUGAUUGGUUAUCUUUGCAAGUCUCUUCGAAUUAUCAGUUUGGUUUGGCCUACUAGAUUGAUCUUUCUUGCAAUGGGAGAAGUGCUUAGCUUUGGGUUCAAUCUUGCGGUGCUCGAUCCCAGUGACAGUACGGGAAACGACACAUAUUGUAUUGUUGCCAUCGAGGAUAAAAAGAUGGGGUUUAUAUCAUAUUGCAUGAGUUUAUCCCUCUACAUCAUGUCAUCUUGCUUAAAGGGUUACUCCGUUCUUAUGAACUUAAUACUCUAGAUGCAUGCUGGAUAGCGGUCGAUGUGUGGAGUAAUAGUAGUAGAUGCAGGCAGGAGUCGGUCUACUUGUCACGGACGUGAUGCCUAUAUACAUGAUCAUACCUAGAUAUUCUCAUAAUUAUGCACUUUUCUAUCAAUUGCUCGACAGUAAUUUGUUUACCCACCGUAAUACUUAUGCUAUCUUGAGAGAAGCCACUAGUGAAACCUAUGGCCCCGGGGUCUAUUUUCCAUCAUAUUAAUCUCCCGUCAACAAGCUAUUUCUAUCUUUGUUUACUUUGCAAUCUUUACUUCUAAUCUUUAUCAUAAAAAUACCAAAAAUAUUAUCUUAUCAUCUCUAUCAGAUCUCACUUUUGCAAGUGGCCGUGAAGGGAUUGACAACCCCUUUAUCGCGUUGGUUGCAAGGUUCUUAUUUGUUUGUGUAGGUGCAAGGGACUUGAGCGUGGCCUCCUACUGGAUUGAUACCUUGGUUCUCAAAAACUGAGGGAAAUACUUACGCUACUUUGCUGCAUCACCCUUUCCUCUUCAAGGGAAAACCAAGGCAGUGCUCAAGAGGUAGCAAGAAGGAUUUAUGGCGCCGUUGCCGGGGAGGUGUGCACCAAGUCAAUUUAAGAUUUGAUCUCCCGACAAUGAACCAUUUCUGGCGCUGUUGGCAUGGAGUCUGCGCACAAGUCAAGACAUACCAAGUACCCAUCACAAACUAUUAUCCCUCGCAUUACAUUAUUUACCAUUUGCCUCUCGUUUUCCUCUCCCCCACUUCACCCUUGCCAUUUUAUUCGCCCUCUUUUUUCGUGCGCCUCUUUUUCGCUUGCUUCGUCGUUAUGGCUAGUCCUUUAUCUACUCCUUUGUCCCCCGAGUUUGAAGUUCUUCACUUCAAACAAAAACAAGGAGAAAAUUUAAAAGAUGCUUGGUAUAGAAUGAUAGAAUCCUAUCGUGGUUGCACUAUAGAGGGAGAUUUCAAGGUUUUACUUCGUAAUUUUUAUGUUGGGAUAACCUUAUCCUUGAUUUUGCCGCCAAAGGGAAUUUUAUUGAAACUGAUCCUAGUUUUGCUUAUGAAAUUAUAGAGGGGAUAGUAGGAGUACUUCCCCCACCAAAGGGACUAACUCUUACCCAUGAGGGAACCCAAAUCUUAGAAAAAUUAGGUGAAUUGCAAAAAUCUCUUGAACCUCUUAAAAAUGUUGGAGGAAACCUCAAUCGUAUGAAUACAUUGAUCACACUUUGCAAUAAACGGUUGGAUGCUCUAGAUCUAAGAAUCUCUGAGUAUGAAGGGAAACGUAAGGAACCUCCCGGAUUCGAGCAUAACCCCACUAAAAAGAUAAAUACCAAAGAUGGCAACACCUAGAUUUCUCCUCCUUUUUAUGCCUAGCUAGGGGCGUUAAACGAUAGCGCUUGUUGGGAGGCAUCCCAAUUUUAUUUUAGUUUUUUGCUUUUUGGUUCUGUUUAGGAAUAAAUAAUCCAUCUAGCUUCUGUUUAGAUGUGGUUUUGUGUUUUAGUUAGUGUUUGUGCCAAGUUAAACCUAUAGGAUCUUCUUGGAUGAUAGUUAUUUGAUCUUGCUGAAAAUUCCAGAAACUUUCUGUUCACGAAAACAAUUGUUAAAAAUCACCAGAACGUGAUAAAAUACUAAUUCCAACUGCAGUAGAUCAAUAAACAAAUUAUCUAGGUCUUCCUAUUUUGGUAGAAAUUUUGGAGUUCCAGAAGUUUGUGUUAGUUACAGAUUACUACAGACUGUUCCAUUUAUGACAGAUUCUGUUUUUUCGCGUGUUGUUUGCUUAUUUUAAUGAAUCUAUGGCUAGUAAUGGAGUUUAUGAACCAUACAAAAGUUCUAAUACAGUAGGUUUAACACCAAUAUAAAUAAAUAAUUAGUUCAUUACAGUACCUUGAAGUGGUGUUUUGUUUUCUUUCGCUAACGGAGCUCACGAGAUUUCCUGUUAAGUUUUGUGUUGUGAAGUUUUCAAGUUUUGGGUAAAGAUUUGAUGGAUUAUGGAACAAGGAUUGGAAAGAGCCUAAGCUUGGGGAUGCCCAAGGCACCCCAAGGUAAAAUUCAAGUACAACCAAAAGCUUAAGCUUGGGGAUGCCCCUGAAGGCAUCUCCUCUUUCGUCUUCGUCUAUCGGUAACUUUACUUGGAGCUAUAUUUUUAUUCACCACAUGAUAUGUGUUUUGCUUGGAACGUCUUGUAUGAUUUGAGUCUUUGCUUUUUAGUUUAUCACAGUCAUCCUCACUGUACACACCUUUUGAGAGAGACACACAUGAUUCGGAAUUUGUUAGAAUACUUUAUGUGCUUCACUUAUAUCUUUUGAGCUACAUAGUUUUUGCUCUAGUGCUUCACUUAUAUCUUUUAGAGCACGGUGGUGGUUUUAUUUUAUAGAAAUUAUUGAUCUCUCAUGCUUCACUUAUAUUAUUUUGAGAGUCUUAAACAGCAUGGUAAUUUGCUUUAAUUGUGAAAUUAAUCCGAAUGUGAUACGCAUCUAAGAUUAGCAUAAUAAAAAUUUCCAUAUUGAGUUCAUUGAAUAUCAUGAGAAGUUUGAAACUUGAUAAGUGUUUUGACAUAUAAAGGUGGUAAUAUUAGAGUGUGCUAGUUGAGCAAUUGUGAAAUUGAGAAAUACUUGUGUUAAGGUUGGCAAGUCCCGUAGCAUGCACGUAUGGUAAAAGUUGUGUGACAAUUUUGACACAUAAGGUGUUCUUUUAUUGCUUUCUUUAUGAGUGGCGGUCGGGGACGAGCGAUGGUCUUUUCCUACCAAUCUAUCCCUCUAGGGGCAUGCGUAGUAGUACUUUGCUUCGAGGGCUAAUAAACUUUUGCAAUAAGUAUACACUACUAGGAAAAGGGCUAUAGAUGAUAUGGACACUAAUGGCGCACCAGACAUGUGGUGCGCCACUACUAUAUACUAAUGGCGCACCAUGUGUUGGUGCGCCAUUAGUGUCCAAAUACUAAUGGCUUACCAUGUGUUGGUGCGCCAUUAGUGUCCAAAUACUAAUGGCGCACCACAUCCACGGUGCGCCACUAGUAACAAUUUUUUUUUCAAAACUAGUAAUGGCGCACCAGGGGAUAGUGCGCCAUUACUAGUUUAACUAGUAAUGGCGCACCACAUCCACGGUGCGCCACUAGUAAUUUUUUUCAAUUUUUUUUCAAAACUAGUAAUGGCACACCAGGGGAUAGUGCGCCAUUACUAGUUAAACUAGUAAUGGCGCACCACAUACACGGUGCUCCACUAGUAAUUUUUUUUCAAUUUUUUUUAUUUUUUUUCAAAACUAGUAAUGGCGCACCGUGAGUGUGGUGCGCCAUUACUAGUUGAACUAGUAAUGGCGCACCACUCCCACGGUGCGCCAUUACUAACUUGACCCAAAAAUUCCACCGNNNNNNNNNNNNNNNNNNNNNNNNNNNNNNNNNNNNNNNNNNNNNNNNNNNNNNNNNNNNNNNNNNNNNNNNNNNNNNNNNNNNNNNNNNNNNNNNNNNNNNNNNNNNNNNNNNNNNNNNNNNNNNNNNNNNNNNNNNNNNNNNNNNNNNNNNNNNNNNNNNNNNNNNNNNNNNNNNNNNNNNNNNNNNNNNNNNNNNNNNNNNNNNNNNNNNNNNNNNNNNNNNNNNNNNNNNNNNNNNNNNNNUUUUAAAAAAAUAAAAGGAAAUGAUGGAAAUGUCAAAAAAAAAUAAGUUUCCCAUGUGAUAUGUGGUCUAGUUGUUGGGAAAAUUUACAAAUAUGAAUUUCGACUUUAUUUGCAAAAUCUCUCUAGAAUUUGUAAAAUGGGCAUAACUUUUGCAUACGAACUCGGAUUAAAAAGUUUUUUAUAUGAAAAAUCAUCUACUCGAAAAGUUACAUCCGAAUUUAAUUGGGGGAACCUCGUUAAACAUUUUCAAAAUCCUCAAAAACCUAACAGAAAAAAGUUACGGGGCUUUCAAGAUCUAGAGGCAAAAAAAUUCAAAAAAAUUCAAACUUACUAGUGGCGCACCGUUUGCUAGGUGCGCCACUAGUAACAGAAAAAAAUUGGUGUUGAAUUUUUUUGGAAUUUUUUUUCAAAAAAUGAUACAUAAUAUGACCGGGAAGUUUGAAAUAUUUUUCAAAAUUUCAUCAUACUCAUGAACAUGAACAAAGUCCUAGAUAUCAACAAGGUUUAAUAGGAUUGAUAUGGUAGAUAUAUCAACAAGUGCCUGUUAAGUGAGGUGGUGCUGGGGUUGGAUAGAACUGUGAAGUUAAGCGUGCUCGGGUUGCAGUAGUGUGAGGAUGGGUGACCUUCCGGAAAGUUUGACCACUUAGUGCGAUUUGACUUGAGAUUAAGCAUAUUGACCCGAGAUUAAGCCAUAGUAACCCGAGAUUAAGGAAAAAACGAAAAAAAAAAUUGAAAAAAAUUUUGAAAAAAAAAUUGUUACUAAUGGCGCACUUCUAUGUGGUGCGCCAUUACUAAGUCGGAUAGUAAUGGCGCACCGUGGGCUAUACUAAUGGCGCACUGCCUGGUGCACCAUUACUAUUUGGUAUACUAAUGGCGCACCGUGGGCUAUACUAAUGGCGCACCUGUGGUGGGCCAUUAGUAAAAAAUUCUAAUGGCGUGGUGCUAGUGGCGUACCUGUAGUGCGCCAUUAGUAGGCAAAACAGGUGCGCCACUAGCAGGCCUUUUUCUAGUAGUGAUAUGAGUUCUUUAUGACUAAUAUGAGUCCAUGGAUUAUACGCACUCUCAACCUUCCACAAUGUUCUAGCCUCUACCGUACCGUGCAUUGCCCUUUCUCGCCUUGAGAGUUGGUGCAAACUUCGCCGGUGCAUCCAAACCCCGUGAUAUGAUACGCUCUAUCACACAUAAAUCUCCUUAUAUCUUCCUCAAAACAGCCACCGUACCUACCUAUCAUGGCAUUUCCAUAGCCAUUCCGAGAUAUAUUGCCAUGCAACUUUCCACUAUUCCGUUUAUUAUGACACGCUCCAUCAUUGUCAUAUUGCUUUGCAUGAUCACGUAGUUGACAUCAUAUUUGUGGCAAAGCCACCAUUCAUAAUUUUCUCAUACAUGUCACUCUUGAUUCAUUGCAUAUCCCGGUACACCACCGGAGGCAUUCACAUAGAGUCAUAAGUUGUAAUUCUUGAGUUGUAAGUAAUAAAAGUGUGAUGAUCAUCAUUAUUAGAGCAUUGUCCCAUGUGAGGAAAGGAUGAUGGAGACUAUGAUUCCCCCACAAGUCGGGAUGAGAUUCCGGACUAAAAUAAAAAAAAGAGGCCAAAGAAAAAAAGAGAAGGCCCAAGAAAAAAAAAGAGAGAAAAAAAGAAAUAAAAGAGAAAAAAUGAGAGAAAAAGAGAGAAGGGACAAUGUUACUAUCCUUUUUCCACACUUUUGCUUCAAAGUAGCACCGUGAUCUUCAUGAUAGAGAGUCUCCUAUGUUGUCACUUUCAUAUACUAGUGGGAAUUUUUCAUUAUAGAACUUGGCUUGUAUAUUCCAAUGAUGGGCUUCCUCAAAAUUCCCUAGGUCUUCGUGAUCAAGCGAGUUGGAUGCACACCCACUUAGUUUCUUUUGUUGAGCUUUCAUACAUUUAUAGCUCUAGUGCAUCCGUUGCAUGGCAAUCCCUACUCCUCUCAUUGACAUCAAUUGAUGGGCAUCUCCAUAGCCUAUUGAUUAGCCACGUCAAUGUGAGAUUUUCUACCUUUUUGUCUUCUCUCAUAACCCCCAUCAUUAUACUUUACUCCACCCAUAGCGCUAUAUCCAUGGCUUGCGCUCAUGUAUUGCGUAAGGGUUGAAAAGGCUGAAGCGCGUUAAAAAUUAUGAACCAAUUGCUCGGCUUGUCAUCGGGGUUAUGCAUGAUGAGAACGUUUGUGUGACGAUAUUGAAACAUGGCCUAACUAUAUGAUUUUGUAGGGAUAAGCUUUCUUUGGCUAUGUUAUUUUGGUAAGACAUAAUUGCUUGGUUAGCAUGUUUGAAGUAUUAUUGUUUUUAUGUCAACAUUAAACUUUUAUCUUGAAUCUUUCGGAUCUAAAUAUUCAUGCCACAAUAAAAAGAAUUACAUUGAAAAUUAUGCUAAGAAGCAUUCCACAUCAAAAAUUCUGUUUUUAUCAUUUACCUACUCGACGACGAGCAGGAAUUAAGCUUGGGGUGCUUGAUACGUCUCCAACGUAUCUAUAAUUUUUGCUUGUUCCAUGCUAUUAUAUAUUCUGUUUUGGAUGUUUAAUGGGCUUAUUUAUACACUUUUAUAUUAUUUUUUGGGACUAACCUAUUAACCGGAGGCCCAUCCCAAAUUGCUAUUUUUUUUGCCUAUUUCAGUGUUUCACAGAAAAAGAAUAUCAAACGGAGUCCAAACGGAAUGAAACCUUCGGGAGCGUGAUUUUUGGAACAAACGUGAUCCAGAGGACUUGGAGUGGACGUCAAGCAACCAACAAGGAGGCCAUGAGGGAGGGGGCGCGCCUACCCUCUGGGCGCGCCCUCCACCCUCGUGGCUCCACCGACCUACUUCUUCCUCCUAUAUAUACCUACGUACCCUCAUACCAUCGAGGAGCACCACGAAAACCUAAUUCCACCGCCGCAACCUUCUGUACCCGUGAGAUCCCAUAUUGGGGCCUUUUUCGGUGCUCCGCCGGAGGGGGCAUUGAUCACGGAGGGCUUCUACAUCAACACCAUAGCCUCUCCGAUGAUGUGUGAGUAGUUUACCUCAGACCUUCGGGUCCAUAGUUAUUAGCUAGAUGGCUUCUUCUCUCUCUUCGGAUCUCAAUACAAAGUUCUCCUCGAUUCUCUUGGAGAUCUAUUCGAUGUAAUCUUCUUUUGCGGUGUGUUUGUCGAGAUCCGAUGAAUUGUGGGUUUAUGAUCAAGAUUGUCUAUGAACAAUAUUUGAAUCUUCUCUGAAUUCUUUUAUGUAUGAUUGGUUAUCUUUGCAAGUCUCUUCGAAUUAUCAGUUUGGUUUGGCCUACUAGAUUGAUCUUUCUUGCAAUGGGAGAAGUGCUUAGCUUUGGGUUCAAUCUUGCGGUGCUCGAUCCCAGUGACAGUAGGGGAAACGACACAUAUUGUAUUGUUGCCAUCGAGGAUAAAAAGAUGGGGUUUAUACCAUAUUGCAUGAGUUUAUCCCUCUACAUCAUGUCAUCUUGCUUAAAGGGUUACUCCGUUCUUAUGAACUUAAUACUCUAGAUGCAUGCUGGAUAGCGGUCGAUGUGUGGAGUAAUAGUAGUAGAUGCAGGCAGGAGUCGGUCUACUUGUCACGGACGUGAUGCCUAUAUACAUGAUCAUACCUAGAUAUUCUCAUAAUUAUGCACUUUUCUAUCAAUUGCUCGACAGUAAUUUGUUUACCCACCGUAAUACUUAUGCUAUCUUAAGAGAAGCCACUAGUGAAACCUAUGGCCCCCGGGUCUAUUUUCCAUCAUAUUAAUCUCCCGCCAAUAAGCUAUUUCUAUCUUUGUUUACUUUGCAAUCUUUACUUUUAAUCUUUAUCAUGAAAAUACCAAAAAUAUUAUCUUAUCAUCUCUAUCAGAUCUCACUUUUGCAAGUGACCGUGAAGGGAUUGACAACCCCUUUAUCGCGUUGGUUGCAAGGUUCUUAUUUGUUUGUGUAGGUGCAAGGGACUUGAGCGUGGCCUCCUACUGGAUUGAUACCUUGGUUCUCAAAAACUGAGGGAAAUACUUACGCUACUUUGCUGCAUCACCCUUUCCUCUUCAAGGGAAAACCAGUGCUCAAGAGGUAGCAGGGGACACCCAAGGUGGGCACAACCCACCAGGGCGCGCCUGGGCCUCCUGGCGCGCCCUGGUGGGUUGUGCCUCCCUCAGGGCACCCCCAGGCGCAGCCAGGGCCCAUUGUGUUCCUUCUGGCCCACAAAAAUUCUCCGUAAAGUUUCGUGGCAUUUGGACUCCGUCUAAUAUUGAUUUCCUGCGAUGUAAAAGAACAUGCAGAAAACAACAACUGGCACUUGGCACUAUGUCAAUAGGUUAGUACCAAAAAAUGAUAUAAAAUGAUUAUAAAACACCCAAGAUUGAUAAUAUAACAGCAUGGAACAAGCAAAAAUUAUAGAUAUGUUGGAGACGUAUCAGCAUCCCCAAGCUUAACUCCUAUUCGUCCUCGAGUAGGGAAGUGAUAAAAACAGAAUUUUUUAUGUGGAAUGCUGCCUAACAUGUCAUAUCAUAUUCUUUUCUUUAUAGCAUGGUCUAGUUUUGACAUGAUAAUUUAAAUACUCAAGCAUAUCAACAAGCAACUGAUGUCGCUUGAAGCUACGUCGGUAUUUCCACAAAGAGGAAGGGAUGAUGCAGCACAACGGCGGUAGGUAUUUCCCUCAGAUAUCAAACCAAGGUUAUCGAACCAGUAGGAGAACCAAGCAACACAACGUAAACAGCCCCUGCACACAGAUAACAAAUCCUCGCAACCCGACGUGUUAAAGGGGUUGUCAAUCCCUUUCGGGGUACGGCGCCUCAAGUAGGCAAACGUACGUGAGAUAGAUUUGUAGUACCUUGAUAGAUCGAACGCCAAAUAAAAAAAAUGAGGAUAAAUUGCAGCAAGGUAUUUUUUAGGUUUUUGGAUUAAUAGAUCUGAAAAUAAAAGCAAGGAAAAAGUAGAUCGCAAAGGCAAAUAUAUGAGAAAGGGAUCCGGGGGCCAUAGGUUUCACUAGUGGCUUCUCUCGAGAAAAAUAGCAAACGUUGGGUGAACAAAUUACUGUUGGGCAAUUGAUAGAACUUCAAAUAAUCAUGACGAUAUCCAUGCAAUGAUCAUUACAUAGGCAUCACGUCCAAGAUUUGUAGACCGACUCCUGCCUGCAUGCAUCUACUACUAUUACUCCACACAUCGACCGCUAUCCAGCAUGCAUCUAGUGUAUUAAGUUCAUGGAGAAACAGAGUAAUGCAAUAAGAACGAUGACAUGAUGUAGACAAGAUCUAUCUAUGUAGAGAUAGACCCCCUUGUUUUAUCCUUAGUAGCAACGAUACAUACGUGUCGGUUCCCUUUCUGUCACUGGGAUCAAGCACCGUAAGAUCGAACCCACUACAAAGCACCUCUUCCCAUUGCAAGAUAAAUAGAUCAAGUUGGCCAAACAAAACCCAAAUAUCGGAGAAGAAAUAUGAGGCUAUAAGAGAUCAUGCAUAAAAGAGAUCAAAGAAACUCAAAUACUUUCAUGGAUAUAAAAAGAUAGAUCUGAUCAUAAACUCAAAGUUCAUCGAUCCCAACAAACACGCCGCAAAAGAGUUACAUAAUAUGGAUCUCCAAGAGACCAUUGUAUUGAGAAUUCAGAGAGAGAGAUGAAGCCAUCUAGCUACUAACUACGGACCUGAAGGUCUACAAAGAACUACUCACGCAUCAUCAGAGAGGCACCAAUGAAGGUGGUGAACCCCAUCCGAGAUGGUGUCUAGAUUGGAUAUGGUGGUUCUCGACUCUGCGGCAGCUGGAUGAAUAUUUCGUCGACUCCCCUAGGGUUUCCAGAAUAUUGGGGUAUUUAUAGAGCAAAAAGGCGGUCCGGGGGCACCCGAGGUGGGCACAACCCACAGGGCGCGCCUGGGCCUGCUGGCGCGCCCUGGUGGGUUGUGGCCCCCUCGGGGCACCCCCCAGGCGCAGCCAGGGCCCGUUGUGUUCCUUCUGGCCCAUAAAAAUUCUCCGUAAAGUUUCGUGGCAUUUGGACUCCGUUUGAUAUUGAUUUUCUGCGAUGUAAAAAACAUGGGAAAAACAGCAACUGGCACUUGGCACUAUGUCAAUAGGUUAGUACCAAAAAAUGAUAUAGAAUGACUAUAAAAUGAUUAUAAAACAUCCAAGAUUGAUAAUAUAACAGCAUGGAACAAUAAAAAAUUAUAGAUACGUUGGAGACGUAUCAGCAACCAUGUCUUUCAAAAUACCAACGCUAAAAUAAGUUAUCCCUAGCCCAUCAUGCUCAACCAUUGAUCCAUUCAUGAAACACACUCGCAUAUUAGUUACACCCAAUACUUAAGUACGAUCAUAUUGCCUCCUAGUUGGUUAUUUUGUAAGAGAAGAUGGAGACUCAAAUUCAAAUCAAAAUUUCAUAAAGUAAAAGAAAGGCCCUUCGCGGAGGGAAGUAGGGAUUUGUAGAGGUGCCAGAGCUCAAAGCGAAAAACUUAGAGAUAAAAACAUUUUGGGAGGUGUAUCCAUCCCACUAAUGAAAACGACUUAGAGUUCCCAGCACUCUCCAUGCUAGAUAUAUCAUAGGCGGUUCCCAACCAGAAAAUAAAGGUUGUUCCUUUUUCAACCAUACUUUCACUUUCCAUGGCUAGCCGUAUCCAUGGGUGCCUUCGAUACCAACACUUUCCAAGGAAUUUAUUAUUUGACAACAUAAAGUAAAUUCAUUUUUCAUUUCGGGACUGGGCAUACCUAAUACCUUUGCCUUACUCUCGUGCAAUGACAAGUGAAUAAACACUCAUCUUGAGAAUAACACAUCUAGCAUGGAAAAUAUUAGCCACCCCUCACCGCUCCGCGAGUGAAACAAACACACAAAAGAGAAGUAUUUUUGAAAAUUAGAGAUGGCACAUACAAAUUUGCUUAGAACGGCAAAAGAAUACCGCAUAUAGGUAGAUAUAGUGGACUCAUGUGGCAAAACUGGUUUAAAGGUUUUUGGAUGCACAAGUAGGGAUCAUACUUAGUGCAAAAUGAAGGCUAGCAAAAGAUUGAAAAGCGACCAACCAAGAAACGAGUAAUCUCAUAAGCAAGCAUUAAGCAUAAAUAACACCGAAUAAUGCACCACAAGUAGGAUAUAAUUUCAUCGCAUGACUAUUGACUUUCGUACUUGCAUAGGGAUUCACAAACCUUAACAUCAAUAUUCUUACUAAAGCAUAAUUACUCAUCAACAUAACUCACAUGUCACAUCAUCAUAUCUCAAAACUGUUACUAAGAAUCAAGUUUAUUUUGUCCAGUGAUCUUCAUGAAAGUUUUUAUUAUAUCCUUCUUGGAUAUCUAUCACUUUGGGACUAAUUUUCAUAUGUUGCUUUUCAUAAUCUCAAACAAACAUAAGUGAAGAUCAUGAGCAUAAUUUUUCUUUCUCUCAAAGUAAUUUAAGUGAAGCAAGAGAGAAUUUCUUGAAAAUUAGUAAUCACACCAUGCUCAAAAAGAUAUAAGUGAAGCACUAGAGCAAGUCCAUUGCUCAUAAAAAUUUAAGUGAAGCAUAGAGAGAAAUUCUAACAAGUCAUGACAUAAUUUUGGCUCUCUCAAGUAGGUGUGUCCAGUAAGGGAUCAAGACUUGAAACACAAAAUAAAACAAGCAAAGACUCAUAUCAUACAAGACGCUCCAAGCAAAACACAUAUCAUGUGACGAAUAAAAAUAUAGCUUCGAGUAAGAUACCGAUGGUCGUUAGAAGAAAGAGGGGAUGCCACUCGGGGGCAUCCCCAAGCUUAGUUGGUUGCUCAUUUUUGGAUAAUAGCUUGGGAUGCCGGGGCAUCCCCAAGCUUAGGCUCUUCUAUCCUUUAUUCCUUCAUCCAUCGUAAGAUAACCCAAAACUUGAAAACUUCAAUCACACAAAACUCAACAAAACCUUCGUGAGAUCUGUUAGUGUAAGAAAGCAAAUCACUACUAUAAGUACUGUACCAAACCAAUUCAUAUUUUUCUGCAUUAUAUCUACUGUAUUCCAACUUUUCUAUGGCAAAAACUCAUCAAAGAAAACCAUAGAGCCAUCAAAAUAAGCACACAACGCAAACAAAAACAGAAUCUGUCAAAACAGAAGAGUCUGUAGAAAUCUGACUAUUUCGAAAACUUCUGGAACUCCAAAAAUUAUGAACAAUUAGGAAGACCUGAGAAAUUUGUAUAUUAAUCUUCUGCAAAAAGAAUUGGCAUUUUAUCAUGCUCUGGUAAAAAAUAAGAAUUGUUUUCGUGAGCGCAAAAGUUUCUGUUUUUCAGCAAGAUCAAACAACUAUCACCCAAGAAGAUCCAAAAGGCUUUAUUUGGCACAAACACUAAUUAAAACACAAAAAACACAAUCAUAACAGUAGCAUAAUUGUGUUAACACUCAAUAACAGAAAGCAAAAAAUCAAAAAUAAAUUUUAUUCAUUGGGUUGCCUUGCAACAAGCGCUAUAGUUUUACGCCCUUAGCUAGGCAUAAAGCAAGGAUCUAAAUUUUUGUCAUCUUUGGUUCGAGAUCCAUAAGAUGCCCUCAUGAUUGAUUCAUAUGGUGGCCUAAUUCUUGUUCUAGUAAAGUGUUCCAUACCCUUCCUCAAAGGAAAUUGGAACUUAAUAUUGCCUUCUUUCAUAUCAAUCACGGCACCGAUAGUGCGUAAAAACGGUCUACCAAGAAUAAUUGGACAAGAUGGAUUGCAAUAAAUAUCAAGAACAAUAAAAUCUAUGGGAACAUAAUUCCUAUUUGCAAGAAUAAGAACAUCAUUAAUUCUUCCCAUAGGCUUUUUAACAGUAGAAUCCGCCAAGUGCAAAUUCAAAGAACAUUCUUCAAGAUCGCUAAGACCAAGCACAUCACAUAAAGAUUUCGGAAUUGUAGAAACACUAGCACCCAAGUCACACAAAGCAAAACACUCACAAUUUUUAAUCUUGACUUUGAUAGUAGGUUCCCAUUCAUCAUGCAAUUUUCUAGGAAUUGAUACUUCUAUUUCCAAUUUUUCUUCAAAAGCUUUCAUCAUAGCAUCAACAAUAUGUUUAGUAAAAGCUUUAUUUUGUUCAUAAGCAUGGGGUGAAUUUAUCAUGGAUUGUAACAAAGAAAUACAAUCAAUCAAAGAUCAACUAUCAUAAUUAAAGUCUUUGUAAUCCAAAAGAGUGGGCACAUCACUAGCUAAAGUUUUGACCUCUUCAAACCCACUUUCAUCAAUUUUCUCUUUUCUCAACAACAUUUUCACCCUCCGAAAUAUUGGGACGCCUUCUACCUAAAGUUGACUCUUCUCUAGUCCAUUUUUAAUCAAUUUUAACUUUAAUACACAAGGAAUCAAUAGAAGAAACACCAAUCAUUUUAAGAUCUUCAUCACUUUUGCGAAAGAAAUCACUAGAAAACGCUUUUUCUAAAAAUUCUCUUUUAGCUCUAAGCAUGGUGGUUCUUUUCUUACUUUCAUCCAUAGAAACAUAAAGAGCUUCAAUUGAUUCAUCUACUUUAGGCACACAAAUUUUCAUAUUGAGAUUUUCCACAUCAUGAGCAAUUCUAUCAACACUUCUAGACAAAUCAUCAAUCUUACUCAACUUUUCUUCUAUGGAAGUGUUGAAAACUUUUUGCGUGUUGAUAAAUUCUUUAAUAUUAUUCUUAAGAUAAGAGGUGUUCCUAUUAUUAUUAUAAGAUUGAUUUCCAUAGGAAUUACCAUAAUUAUUAGAGGAAUUACUAGGAAAAGGCCUAGGAUUAAAAUUACCUCUAUAAGCAUUGUUAUUGAAAUUAUUUCAAGAGAUAAAAUUCACAUCUAUGGCAUCACUAUUUUGCUCAAUCAAUGUAGACAAAGCCAUAUCAUUAAAUUCAAUAGGAGCACUUUUACUAGCAACCAAUUUCAUAAGAGCAUCAACUUUUUCACUCAAAGAAGAAAUUUCUUCAACCGAAUUAACUUUUUUACUAGUAGGAGCUCUUUCGGUAUGCCAUUGUGAAUAAUUUGCCAUGAUAUUAUCAAGAAAUUUGGUGGCUUCAUCCAAAGUAAUUUCCAUAAAAGUACCACCCGUGGCGGAAUCUAAAAUAUUACGAGAAACAAAAUUCAACCCCGCAUAAAAUUUUUGUAUGAUCAUCCAAAGAUUUAACCCAUGAGUUGGGCAAUUCCUUAGCAUCAUUUUCAUCCUUUCCCAAGACUGUGCAACAUGCUCAUGUUCAAGUUGCUUGAAAUUCAUGAACUGGGUUCUAAGGGAAAUAAUUUUUGCGUGCGGAAAAUACUUAGUGAUAAAAGCAUCUUUGCACUUAUUCCAAGAAUCGAUACUAUUGCAAGGCAAAGAAGAGAACCAAAUUUUUGCAGAAUCACGCAAAGAAAAUGGAAAUAAUUUCAUCUUCACAACAUCAUUGUCCACAUCUUUUUUCUUUUUCAUAUCGCAUAAUUCCACGAAGGUAUUAAGAUGGGAUGCGGCAUCCUCAUUAGGAGUGCCGGAAAAUUGAUCUUUCAUAACAAGAUUCAGCAAAGCAGUAUUAAUAUCACAAGACUCCGCACUAGUGGCGGGAGGAGCAAUUGGAGUGCCGAUAAAAUCAUUGUUGUUGGUAUUUGAGACAUCACAUAACUUGGUGUUCUCUUGAGUCAGGAUGACCACACAAUAAGAUUGCACUCAAAAACAGAUCCGGCAAAGAAAAUGGCGAACGAAAAAGAGAGGCGAAUAAAACGGCAAAUUUUGUGAAGUGGGGGAGAGGAAAACGAGAGGCAAAUGGCAAAUAAUGUAAAUUGCAAGGAGAUGAGAUUUGUGAUUAGGAACCUGGUAUAUGUUGAAGAUCCUCCCCGGCAACGGCGCCAUAAAUUCCUUUUGAUGUUGCUUGAAGCUAUGUCGGUAUUUCCCCAAAGAGGAAGGGAUGAUGCAGCACAGCGGCGGUAGGUAUUUCCCUCGGAUAUGAAACCAAGGUUAUCGAACCAGUAGGAGAACCAAGCAACACAACGUAAACAGCCCCUGCACACAAAUAACAAAUCCUCGCAACCCGACGUGUUAAAGGGGUUGUCAAUCCCUUUCGGGUACGGCGCCUCAAGUAGGCAAACGGACGUGAGAUAAAUUUGUAGUAAAUUGAUAGAUCGAACGCCAAAUAAAAUAAAUAAGAAAAAAUUGCAGCAAGGUAUUUUUGUAUUUUUGGUUUAAUAGAUCUGAAAAUAAAUGCAAGGAAAAAGUAGAUCACAAAGGCAAAUAUAUGAGAAAGAGACCCGGGGGCCGUAGGUUUCACUAGUGGCUUCUCUCGAGAAAAAUAGCAAACGGUGGGUGAACAAAUUACUGUUGGGCAAUUGACAAAACUUCAAAUACUCAUGACGAUAUCCAGGCAAUGAUCAUUAUAUAGGCAUCACGUCCAAGAUUAGUAGACCGACUCCUGCCUGCAUCUACUACUAUUACUCCACACAUCGACCGCUAUCCAGCAUGCAUCUAGUGUAUUAAGUUCAUGGCGAAACGGAGUAAUGCAAUAAGAACGAUGACAUGAUGUAGACAAGAUCUAUCUAUGUAGAGAUAGACCCCCUUGUUUUAUCCUUAGUAGCAACGAUACAUACGUGUCGGUUCCCUUUCUGUCACUGGGAUCAAGCGCCGUAAGAUCGAACCCACUACAAAGCACCUCUUCCCAUUGCAAGAUAAAUAGAUCAAGUUGGCCAAACAAAACCCAAAUAUCGGAGAAGAAAUAUGAGGCUAUAAGAGAUCAUGCAUAAAAGAGAUCAAAGAAACUCAAAUACUUUCAUGGAUAUAAAAAGAUAGAUCUGAUCAUAAACUCAAAGUUCAUCGAUCCCAACAAACACGCCGCAAAAGAGUUACAUAAUAUGGAUCUCCAAGAGACCAUUGUAUUGAGAAUUUAGAGAGAGAGAGAUGAAGCCAUCUAGCUACUAACUACGGACCUGAAGGUCUACAAAGAACUACUCACGCAUCAUCAGAGAGGCACCAAUGGAGGUGGUGAACCCCAUCCGAGAUGGUGUCUAGAUUGGAUAUGGUGGUUCUCGACUCUGCGGUGGCUGGAUGAAUAUUUCGUCGACUCCCCUAGGGUUCUGGAAAUAUUGGGGUAUUUAUAGAGCAAAGAGGCGGUCCCGGGGGCACAACCCACCAGGGCGCCCUGAUGACCCACAAGUAUAGGGGAUCUAUCGUAGUCCUUUCAAUAAGUAAGAGUGUCGAACCCAACGAGGAGCAGAAGGAAAUGAUAAGCGGUUUUUAGUAAGAUAUUCUCUUCAAGCACUUGAAUUAUCGGUAACAGAUAGUUUUGUGAUAAGGUAAUUUGUAACGGGUAACAAGUAAUGAAAGUAAAUAAGGUGCACGAAGAUGGCCCAAUCCUUUUUGUAGCAAAGGACAAGCCUGGACAAACUCUUAUAUAGAGAAAAGUGCUCCUGAGGACACAUGGGAAUUAUCGUCAGGCUAGUUUUCAUCACGCUCAUAUGAUUCGCGUUCGUUACUUUGAUAAUUUGGUAUGUGGGUGGACCGGUGCUUGGGUGCUGCCCUUUCUUGGACAAGCAUCCCACUUAUGAUUAACCCCUAUUGCAAGCAUCCGCAACUACAAAAGAAGUAUUAAGGUAAACCUAACCAUAGCAUGAAACAUAUGGAUCCAAAUCAGCCCCUUACGAAGCAACUCAUAAACUAGGGUUUAAGCUUCUGUCACUCUAGCAACCCAUCAGCUACUUAUUACUUCCCAAUGCCUUCCUCUAGGCCCAAACAAUGGUGAAGUGUCAUGUAGUCGACGUUCACAUAACACCACUAGAGGAAAGACAACAUACAUCUCAUCAAAAUAUCGAACGAAUACCAAAUUCACAUGACUACUUAUAGCAAGACUUCUCCCAUGUCCUCAGGAACAAACGUAACUACUCACAAAUCAUAUUUAUGUUCAUAAUCAGAGGGGUAUUAAUAUGCAUAAAGGAUCUGAACAUAUGAUCUUCCACCAAAUAAACCAACUAGCAUCAACUACAAGGACUAAUCAACACUACUAGCAACCCACAGGUACCAAUCUGAGGCUUUGGGACAAAGAUUGGAUACAAGAGAUGAACUAGGGUUUUAGAGGAGAUGGUGCUGGUGAAGAUGUUGAUGGAGAUUGACCCCCUCCCGAAGAGAGGAUCGUUGGUGAUGAUCAUGGCGAUGAUUUCCCCCUCCCGGAGAGAAGUUUCCCCGGGAGAACAGCUCUGCCGGAGCCCUAGAUUGGUUCCGCCUCGUGGCGGCGGAGUUUCUUCCCGAAAGCUUUAUGAUUUUUUCCAGGGUAAAAGACUUCAUAUAGAAGAAGAUGGGCACCGGAGGCCUGCCAGGAGGCCCACGAGGCAGGGGGCGCGCCCAGGGGGGUAGGGCACCCCCCACCCUCGUGGAUGGUGGGUGGCCCCCCUCUGGUACUUUCUUCGCUCAGUAUUUUUUAUUAAUUCCAAAAUAACUUCUGUGGAGUUUCAGGACUUUUGGAGUUGUGCAGAAUAGGUCUCUAAUAUUUGCUCCUUUUCCAGCCCAGAAUUCCAGCUGUCGGCAUUCUCCCUCUUCAUGUAAACCUUGUAAAAUAAGAGAGAAUUGGCAUAAGUAUUGUCACAUAACGUGUAAUAACAGCCCAUAAUGCGAUAAAUAUCGAUAUAAAAGCAUGAUGCAAAAUGGACGUAUCACGCGCCUGGGCCUCCUGACGCGCCCUGGUGGGUUGUGCCUCCCUCAAGGCACCCCCAGGCGUAACCAGGGCCCAUUGUGUUCCUUCUGGCCCAUAAAAAUUCUCCGUAAAGUUUCGUGGCAUUUGGACUCCUUCUGAUUUUGAUUUCCUGCGAUGUAAAAAAACAUGCAAAAAAUAGCAACUGGCACUUGGCACUAUGUCAAUAGGUUAGUACCAAAAAAAUGAUAUAAAAUGAUUAUAAAAUAUACAAGAUUGAUAAUAUAACAUCAUGGAACAAGCAAAAAUUAUAGAUACGUUGGAGACGUAUCAGUAUCUCGCUAGCCCUUUCUGAGACCGCAAAACAUAAAUGUAGAGCACCUCCAAAGUCCAAGCAACGACUAAACAUUGUAAUUCAUGGUAGAAAAGAUCCAGUCAUAAUGCAUCAACAUUAGCUACACACAAUGUAUCAGCAUGACAGCAGUGCUCUCAGGUUCUGGUGCUUAUUUCAGAGGGUGAUGACACAACAUAAAAGUAAAUAGAUAGUCCCUUCGCAGAGGAAAGCAGUGAUUUGCAGCGGUGCCAGAGCUCAAGUUUUAAAACAGAGGUAAAUGAUAUUUUGAGACAUGAACCCUUGUCAUUUACUUCACGACUAUCAGUUAUCAAUAUCUUCCAUGCUAAGCAUGCUAGUGGCGGUUCCCAAGCGAUAAAAGUAAAAGUUUACUCCCCCUCCACCAACAAUCACACUCCAUGGCUUGUCCGAAACAAUGGGUGUCGUCCAUACCAACAACAGUCCCGGGGGAGUUUUGUUUAAUUAUUCGCAUUUUGAGUUCAAGACUGGGAAUCCCUAUUACCGCCCUUUUCUCGUGCGAUGGCGAGUGAAUAAACACUUGACCUGAGAAUAACCCGCUUAGCAUGGAAGAUAUCGACCACCUCCUGUCGUUCCAUGAACGAUCCAGGCACACAAAAAGGAUAUUUAUUAGAAGUUUUUAGAGGUGGCACAUGCAAAUUUACUUAGGACGGCAGGGUAAUACCGCGUAUAGGUAGGUAUGGUGGACUCAUCUGGAAUAACUUUGGGUUCAAGGUUUUUGAUGCACAAGCUGAAUUCCCACUUAGUACAGGCGUAGGCUAGCAAUUAGAUUGAGAAGCGACCAGCUAGAGAGCAACAACGGUCAUGAACAUGCAUUAUGCAUAAGUAACAUUGGACACUAGCAUGAGUAGGAUAUGAACACCAUGAACAUAAAUAUCAUAGAGGCUAUGUUGGUUUUGAUUCAACUACAUGCAUGAACAUGUGCCAAGUCAAGCCACUCGAACAUUCAGAGGAGGAUACCAUAUCAUCAUACUACAUCACAAUCAUUUUAACGCGAUGUUGAUAUCCAAGAUAAAUCAUUAUCCACUCCUAGCUACUUAUGCAUGGCAUGAGAAACUAUAAUAUCUAAUUGUCAUUGCAAACAUGUUUAAUCAUAAUGGGCUGAAUCAUGGAUACUAGGUUAAACAUAUUUACACAAACAGAACAAGUCGAGUUCAUACCAGUUUCUUUCUGCCACGGCCAGUUCAUCGAAUAUCGUCAUUAUUGCCUUUCACUUGCACGACCAAACGAUAUGAAAAUGAUAACAGUUCAAGAGUGUUGUGGACUAAGCUGGAAUCUGCAAAUAUUUUAUUCAACAGGAGAAGAUAAGGUAAAAUGGACUCUUUAUUAGAUCAACGGUUAUUCAUGUGAGAGCCACUCAACAUUUUCAUCGUGGUCUUCUCCUUGAUAUGACUCAAAUAAAAAGAAUAGAAAUUCACAGAAACAUACUGAAAUAUAUUUUUGGAGUUUUUGGUUUUAUUGAACAAGCAAAUAAAAGGGAAAAGAAAAAAGAGAAAAACUAUUUACACGGGAAAGCUCCCAAUAAGCAAAAGAAGAACAAGGAAAUAUUUUGGGUUUUCUUUUUAGUAUUACAACUAAGCAUGCAUAGAAAGUAAACUAACUACAACUAUUUUUUUGGUUUUUUUCCUAAGGUUUUUCAAACACACAAGAAGAAAGCGAGAAAAUAAAAUUAAGAAUGGAUAAUACAAUGAAAAAGUGUGAACACCGACAAAUGGAAUAAGUGGACAUGAAUAUAAAGUCGGUGGAAACACGUACUCCCCAAAGCUUAGGCUUUUGGCCUAGCUUGGUAAUCGAUCAGUAGCCUGGAUAGUAGUCGGGGUGCUGAGGAGCGGGCAUCCACUGAUCCCACUCUGAGGCUCCUCAUCUGCUGCAGCUUGGUCAUUCCGGUAGGCGAUGAUGUACGCAUGCAUAAUCCUAUAUCCACCCAUGGUAACAGGAUCAAACAAAGCAUGAGCAGGCAAUGGAAUAAUAUCACGAGUUUCAAUGCUAAAAACCAGAUUAUAAGGAAUAGGAAUGUUAGGGUAAUCUCGUGCAAUAAAAUGGUGGUGUUCCAUGGCUGCGCGGUCUAGGUAAACCUUGGUCAGAGGGUAAUCAUGAAGGCGUAUCUCAACAUUGAAGUGAGCCGCCAAACGAGUAGCGAAAAUCCCACCAUGUAUUUUAUCCUUGGACUUAUUAAUAUAGAGACGACGUUCCACAAUAGCUCCCAAGCUAUAAGUGUUGUCGCCCUCUUGUGCACAACAUAAAACGGCAAGGUCUGAUGAACUGAGUGCACCCACCUUCUCUCUAGCAAGCAAGCAUUUUUCAAUGAAAAGAGCAAAGUAAUGAACAACAGGAAAAUGCAAGCCAGCGGCAGUGAUAGCUGACACCCCUCUCUCAUCUCCCACUGUCAAGGUACGAUAAAAGGCCUCAAACUCUGCCGGCCUAGGCUCAACUAAACUCCCGUCAGAAGGCAUCAUGCAUAUGUUAGAAAAUUCAGUAAGUGGUAUCUGACGGGUUUUAGCAUAUUAAUUAAACUGUACCUCAGGAGGAUUAUUCCUAGGAAGGAAAGUAAAACUUUGAACAAAGAUGUUUGUGAGGAGAUGAUACUGUUCACAUUCAGCUGCGAUGAAGUCGGUGAGGCCGGCAUUAGCAGCAUAUUGUGUGAACUCCUGAAGGAUUCCAGCCUCUUCCAUGAACUGGGUGCGCGGCCAUUCGCACGGCCGUACUUCUGCCAACCACCGAGGAUGGAGAUCACUGUCAGAUGACUCCCCAAUAACACCAUUGGAGUUCUUCUUAGAAGCAAACUUCCUAAAGAUAUUCAUCCUUUUCCUAUGAACAAAAAUUCUGAAAUUUUGAGUCCAUAAACUUUUCUCAACAAAACUUCACAAAAUUGAUAGCAACUACUCAUAGGGAUACAUAGAGGCCAUAGCAAGCAUUCAAACUACUUAGAACUCUAAGAAUUCAACAUGCAAGCUUAUCUACAGCAGCACCAAGAGUAGCUAAUUAUUCAAAAUAUAAACCAGUAAAACAAAAACUAAUUAGACAAACGGUGGAGUCACAUACUGAGCAACAAUCCCCCAAAACAGUUUCCGAAAUGGAGCUUCGAGCAAAGAGAUAGAAAUCUGCGGGUUUGACAGCAAGAACACGGGAGAGAGAGAGCAAUGGAUAAUUUUUUCUGGAGGUAAGUGAUGAUGUGGUGUGAAGGGAUAAGUGAGGGGGCCACGUGGGGACCACAACCCACUAGGGCGCGCCUGGGGGGUCCUGGUGCGCCCAUGUGGGUUGUUCCCACCUGGUGCACCUCCCUCUCGUAUUAUUUGCACCAGAAAUUCGUAAAUAUUCAAAAAAAAUCAUAUUAAAUUUUCAGAGCAUUCUGAGAACUUUUAUUUUUGGGUCAUUUUUUCAUUGCACAGGAAAUCCAGAAAACAGACAAAACAUGGCAUUUUAUUUUAUUUAACUAAUGAAAACAGAAAACAAAAGGUAGGGACAGAAGAUAGUGCUUACUAAAUUCAUCAACUUCAUACCUCUAAAAAAUGGUCCAUUAAUAAGGUUGAUCAAGUCUUAUUAACAACCACUUUCGAUUAGCAUGAAACCGAAGAACUUUUGUAAAUCACUAAGUUACCUCAACGGGGAUAUGGAUGUCCCCAACAAUAAGCAUUUCAUAUUUCUUUUUAACAGUAGGUAGAGGUAUUUGAAAACUUCCAAUAGUGAUUGUCAGAGAUUUUUCAAUAACAUUAAUACCAUUCACUUGGAAUUGUUUCUUCGGAAAGUGCAUCGUAUGCUCAUUACCAUUGCUAUGAAAAGUGACCUUGCUUUUAUUGCAAUCAAUAGCAGCCCCUGCAGUAUUCAAGAAGGGUCUACCAAGGAUAAUCGACAUGUUGUCGUCCUUAGGCAUCUCAAGUAUAACAAAGUCAGUCAAAAUAGUAACAUUAGCAACAACAGCGGGCACAUCCUCACAGAUACCGAUAGGUAUGGCAGUUGAUUUGUCAGCCAUUUGCAAAGAUAUUUCAGUAGGUGUGAGUUUAUUCAAAUCAAGUAUUUUAUAUAAAGAGAAAGGCAUAACACUAACACCAACUCCUAAAUCACACAAAGCAGUUUUCACAUAGUUUCUUUUGAUAGAGCAAGGUAUAGUUGGUAUUCCCAGAUCUCCAAGUUUUUUAGGUACUCCAUCUUUAAAAGUAUAAUUAGCAAGCAUGGUGGAGAUUUCAGCUUCCGGUAUUUUUCUCUUAUUGGUGAUGAUGUCUUUCAUAUACUUUGCAUAAGAAGGCAUUUUCAAGAUAUCAGUCAAGCAAGUACGCAAAAAGACUGGCCUCGACAUUUCAGGAAAGCGUUCAAAUUCUUCAUCAUCUUUCUUUUUAGUUGACUUAGGUGGAAAGGGCAUAGGUUUUUGAACCCACGGUUCUCUUUCUUUACCGUGUUUUCUAGCCACAAAGUCACUUUUAUAAUACCUUUUAUUCUUAGGUUAUGAAGAUCAACUGGUGGUUCUAUCUCAACAUCAUUGUCUGGUUCUUCAUUAUUUGUUUGAGUAUUUUCAUGAACCUCAUCAUUAUCAUUUUCAUUAUCAGAAGGUGAGUGUUCAUUACCAGACUGAGUUUCAGCAUUAGAGAUAGAAAUUUCAUUAUCAUUACCAGAAGGUUUUUCUACUUCAGGUUCACUAGAGGCAUGCAAAGUCCUAUCAGUUUUCUUCUUCUUUUUCUUUCUAGAAAGACUAGGUGCACUAGUGUUAUUUAUUUGUGAGUCUUGUUCAAUUCUUUUUGGGUGUCCCUCAGGAUAAAGUGGUUCCUGAGUCAUUUUACCUCCUCAAGUUGCUACUCUAACACCAAAGUCAUGUAUAUUAUUAUUCAUUUCAUCAAGCAACUCUCUUUGAGAUUUAGCAACUUGUUCUAAUUGAGUUUGAACCAUAGAAGCAUGUUUUCCAACACCUCUAACAUCAUUUGAGAUUAUAAAUAACAAGUCACUCAAGCGAGCAAUCAUAUCAGAAUUAUAUUUCAAUUGUUUCAUAAUAUUUGCAUUGAACUGAUCUUGUUUUCUAAUGUAGUUUUCAAACUCAUAAAGGCAUUGGCUAGGGUGCAUAUUGUGAGGAUUGUCAUUAUCAUUGAACUUCAUUAGAGAAUUUACCUCUACCACCUUGGGUGGUGGUGGUGUAUUAAGCCCAUGUAUUUCUUCAAUAGGAGGUAAAUUUUUAACAUCAUCAGCUUUAAUACCUUUUUCCUUCAUAGAUUUCUUUGCCUCUUGCAUAUCUUCAGGACUGAGAUAUAAUAUACCCCUCUUCUUCAUAAUGGGUUUGGGUGAUGGUUAUGGAAGAGUCCAAUCAUCAUAAUUUUUUUAUAUAUUAUUCAACAAUUCUUGAACUUGCCCAAUAGUUCGUUCCCUGAAAACACAACCAACACAACCAUCUAGGAAAUCCCUAGAAGCAUCGGUUAGUCCAUUAUAGAAGAUAUCAAGUAUUUCAUUUUUCUUAAGAGGAUGAUCAGGCAAAGCAUUAAGUAACUGGCAAAGCCUCCCCCAAGCUUGUGGGAGACUCUCUUCUUUAAUUUGCACAAAGUUAAAUAUUUCCUGUAAGGCAGGUUGUUUCUUAUGAGCAGGAAAAUAUUUUUCAGGGAAGUAAUAAAUCAUAUCCUGGGGACUACGCACACAACUAGGAGCAAGAGUAUUGUACCAAGCUUUAGCAUCACCUUUUAAUGAGAACGGAAAUAAUUUGAGAAUAAAGUAAUAGCGAGUCUUCUCAUCAUGAGUAAAAAGGGUGGCUAUGUCAUUCAACUUAGUACACAACAGUUUCAGUUUCAUAAUCAUGGAAAGGAUCGGAUUCAACCAAAGUAAUUAACUCUAGGUCGACAGAGAAUUCAUAAUCCUUAUCAUCAAUAAAGAUAGGUGAAGUAGCAAACUUAGGAUCAUAUUUCAUUCUAGCAUUCAGAGAUUUUUCUUUAUACUUGCAUAAUAAUUUCUCUAGAUCAUCUCUAUCCUCACAAGCAAGAAUAUCUCUAGUUGUCUCCUCAUUCAUAACAUAACCUUCCGGUACCUUAGGCAAUUCAUAUCUAGGAAGGCUAGUUCUAGCAGGUGUUUCAGGAGUUUCACUUUCAAGCUCAUCAUCAGAUUCAACAACAUCAUGUUGUAUUACUCUAGCAAUUUGUUCAUCAAGAAAGUCACCAAGUGGCACAUCAUUAUCAUCAAGCAAGGUACUAGCAUCAUCAUAAGUAUCAUUCAUAGCAGAAGUGGCAUCAUCAAUAACUUGCGACAUAUCAGGAUUAAUAGCAUGUGGUGGUGUUGCAAGUUUACUUAUAACAGAAGGUGAAUCUAAAGCAGAACUAGAUGGCAGUUCCUUACCUCCCCUCAUCUUAGAGGGAUAAAUCUUAGUCUUAGCAUCCUUCAGAUUCUUCAUAGUGAGAAAUUGAUAAUAAUCCCAAGUGACUCAACAAAUAUAGCUAUGCUCCCCAGCAACGGCGCCAGAAAAAGGUCUUGAUAACCCACAAGUAUAGGGGAUAGCAACAGUAUAGAGUAUUCAACCCAAAUUUAUAGAUUCGACACAAGGGGAGCCAAAGAAUAUUUGAAGGUAUUAGCAGCUGAGUUGUCAAUUCAACCACACGUGGAGAUUAAUUAUCUAUAGCAACAUGAUCAGUAGCAAAGUAAUAUAAUAGUUUUGAUAAUAGUGACCGCAGUAACAGUAACGGUAACAGUGAUAGCAGUAGUUUUGUAACAAGUGCGAUAGUGAUGAUAGCAGUAGUAACUUAGCAAGAACAAUAUAAGAUAAAUUCGUAGGCAUUGGAUCGGUGAAUUGUUGGAUGAUAUUCAUCAUGAGACAGUUAUAACCUAGGGCGAUACGGCACUAGCUCCAGUUCAUCAAUAUAACGUAGGCAUGUAUUCCGUAAAUAGUCAUACAUGCUUAUGGAAAGAACUUGCAUGACAUCUUUUGUCCUACCCUCCCGUGGCAGCAGGGUCCAAUUGGAAACUAAGGGAUAUUAAGGCCUCCUUUUAAUAGAGAACCGGAACAAAGCAUUAACACACGGUGAAUACAUGAACUCCUCAAACUACGGUCAUCACAGGGAGUGGUCCCGACUAUUGUCACUCCGGGGUUGCCGGAUCAUAACACGUAGUAGGUGACUAUAACUUGCAAGAUCGGAUCUAGAACAUGGAUAUAACGGUGAUAACAUAAACGGUUCAGAUCUGGAAUCAUGGCACUCGGGCCCAAAGUGACAAGCAUUAAGCAUGGCAAAGUCAUAGCAACAUCAAUCUUAGAACAUAGUAGAUACUAGGGAUCAUGCCCUAACAAAACUAACUCGAUUACAUGAUGAAUCUCAUCCAACUCCUCACCGACCAGCGAGCCUACGAAGGAAUUACUCACUCCCGGUGGGGAGCAUCAUGGAAUUUGGCGAUGGAGAAGGGUUGGUGAUGACGAAGAACGAAGAUCCCCCUCUCCGGAGCCCCAAACGGACUCCAGAUCUGGGAUCCCAAUGAAGAACAGGAGGUGACGGCGGCUCCGUCUCAUGGAUCACGAUAAUUCUUUCUCCCUGAUUUCUUUCUGGAAAAAUAGGAUUUUAUAGCGUCUGUUUCAGGGUCUGCGGGGCCACCAGGUGGGGACAACGCACCUGGGCGCGCCAGGAGGGGGGCGCGCCCUGGUGGGUUGUGCCCACCCAGGUGCCCCCCUCUGGUGGAUCUUGGCUCCAGAAAUUCUUUUUAUUGAUAUAAAAAUUCCUCACAAAGUUUCGUUGCAUUCCGAGAACUUUUAUUUCUGCACAAAAAUAACGUCAUGAUAUUUCAGCUGAAAACAGCAUCAGUCCGGGGUUAGUUUAUUCAAAUCAUGCAAAUUAGAAUCCAAAAUAAGAGGAAAAGCGUUACGAAAAGUAGAUACGUUGGAGACGUAUCACUGGAGCAACACGACCAUGGCCAUGGCAUGGCCGCUCGCAGGCGGGAGCUCGAUCGGGACGACAACAACGGAGCUCAAGGGGCUCGUCACCGGCUAGAUCCAGGCAGAGAACGGUGGGACUCGGGAGGUGCAGGGAACGGCAGCUCCGUCGUCACAGCGAAGAGGAUCGAUGUAGGGACCCAGCUCAUGCGGUCCGUCGCUAUUUUUCGGUUCACUUCUGUCCGUUCGAGACCCAUUUCUUGCCCGUAAUUGGUUCAGGUUUGGGUCGGGACGGACAACAAAUGGACAACUGUUUGGGUACUCCUGUUGGGCCAAGUUUUUUGUCUAGAUGACCCAAAAAGGACAAAAUGGGUUCCCGCAUUUGGGUUGGCCUAAGAACUUCAGAAAAAAAGAAUGAACUCUCAAGAAUUUCGUGCUAUAGGUACCCUACACAUCCACCCCAUCCCUCCUUCCCCGAAGCGCUCAGCAGUAAAAAUUCUAAGAAAAAAGGUUCUAAUUGUUCAGGGAAAACAGGAAUCCAACAAGAAAGAGUUGCCCACACUAGUGAAAAUCCUAGUACAAUGGUUGUGAGACACUUUUUUCUAGAUUUGUAUGAUACUCUUGUGUGGCUCUUUGGUUAGACAAGUUGUGUCGUGUGUUGUAGGCAAUUUCUCUAAUGCCUGCAGGCAACUUCUAUUUUUUGAAAAAAGAAAAUCAUCAGUAGGAUAAUGUUUUGGGUUGUUUUUUGCUUGGUAAGUUGUGCUUGCGGUGUAGGCAAAGUUUGUGAGUUAAAACCUAUUUAUGUAGCCAGCUUGUUAGUUUGGUGCCAAAACAAGGAAAAUGGGAAAUCAAAAGCAAGUCUUCCAAUGAUGUAGGCAAUUUGCAUAUAAGUUUCCAGCAACUCCCUUUUUUUGCUGAACAAAAAAGCUAACAGCCACCUACUAGGGAUGCAUAAAAACAUGUUGGGAAAAGCUCUGGGGUUGUGCGAAUUUUACCUGAAAGUUGUUGGUGAAUUUUUUUGCUUGCGAGAAAGGGGGCCAGAAAGCACGUAUUCCUUUGAUGUACGCAAUUUGCAUGUAAGUUUCAGGCAACUCCCUCUAUUUGUUGGAACAAAAAAGCUAACAGCCAUCUACUGGGGAGGCUGAAAAAACUAGUUAGAAAGCUAUUGGGAUGUGUGAAAUUUACCUGGAAGUGGCUGGCAAAGCUUCUUGCUUGCAAAGAGGGAAAAAUAAAACAAGUCCUGCUGGGAUGUACACAAAAUGCAUAUAAGUUUGAGGCAACUCCUCUUUUUUUCCUGAAACUGAAAAAUUGGAUAGCUUUGUGCGAAGCUUACCUGGAAGUGGAUGUUGAAGCUUCUUUCUUGAGCAUGUGCACAAAACCUCGAAAACUUUGCUUUGACAUCAUUUUAGAAUUUAGUGAGGCCCUACAAGCAAAACAAACACUCUGUUUAGGCAAGAAUAUCUACGAAAGCAUAUUUAUGAAACUUAGGUGCUUAGGAUAGUGUUCUGAGCAAUGGUAUUGGUUUUCUCCAGUAGGUACUAGUUAAAUAUUCAAAAUAUGGUAGGAUAGGAUAGUCGUUGUAGUAGCAGUAAUAGCAACCGUACAAAAUGACUUAGAAUCUUAAAUGCCUCUGCAUCUCGUGUCCCUUGCUCCCUCUCCAGUUAUAUUGUGUGGAACAUCAAGUUGUGAUGUGUCCCCUGGGCAAAUACAUCAGUGGUUAAAGGCAAGUUGUGCUCUGAUCUAAGCAAAUUGCAUAGUAUAUCCAGGCAACUCGAGGUUUUGUUUACAAAAAAGGAUUGAAAGGUAGAACCUCGUACUGGGUUUGUAAGCAACUUCUAUAGAUUCUGCAGCCAACUCAUUAGCUUGCCAGCCGAAGAAAAAUAAAUAGUGAAAGUCAGGAGCAACUACUACUUGGUUUGUAGGCAAUUUGCCUACAAGUUUCAGACAAUAAAUAUGGACCUAUAUUGUGUGGAACAUCAAGUUGUGUUGUGUCCACUGCACAAAUGCUUUUGUUGUUGCAGGCAAGUUGUGCUCCAAUCUAAGCAAAUUGCAUACUAUAUCCAGGCAAACCAGGUUCUAUUUAGGAAAGGGAUUAAAAUGUAGCAACUCAUACUUGGCUUGCCGACAAUUUCCAUAGAUUCUACAGCCAACUCAUUAGCUUGCUUGCCAAAGAAAAUAAAAUAGUGGAUACAAACUGCAUGUCGACCCAUUGAGCAAGUCCAAUAGCAGAAAUGAGGUACUUAUAAAAAAAAUCAUGCAAGUUUGAGCAAGUCCAAUAGAAGAAAUGAGUCUAAUAGCUCAAUAUAAAUCUGCUUUAUUAUAUGCCGUAAUCACUUGGACACAGAUAAGUAAAUAUCUAUCAAGUUUUCAUACAUGACACAUGUUCUUUAUAAUGGCUAGAAUGAAUUGGAAUGGUAACGAAACAACAGAUUACUUCAUUACUUCAUAAUGCAGUCUCUUUUUUGUCAUGUGUUACAUGAAAAAUCAUAGUACAGUUACCAUCAUACUAUGAAGUGCCCAUUUAAGAGAGUCUAUACUUGCUAUUAUCAUCUAUACCUACUAAUAAAAGAAAUAGGUAUUCUUAGUCCGUUAUGCUAUUUGUAGAAAACCUCCUGAUGUUUCUGACAUUAAACCCGCAGUACAUAUCAAAUGUUUUUUAAAAUACUCAUAUCUUUUAAAACGUAACUCCAAAUUUAACAUAUUAUAUAUGAAAUUUGAUUAGAAAAAUAUGUAGAAUCUAAAUAUGAUGUUAUUUUACCUGUUAAUAAUUUAAAAAAUAUAAUCUAGGCUGCAAUGUUAAUCAACAAUGCAUUAUCCGUCUUUUUUCAUACCGGUACUGAUUCAGAUUGGGGAUGAAUACCUCAACAAAAUCAGGAUUGGACAUCAAAUUGAAGAUAAAUUUGUUAGAGACACCAAUAAAUAAGGACAUGAAUGACAAGAAAUAAAAGGACCAAACAAAGAUGGGAUGUCCGCUAUAAAAUAAAUAAAAGAGAAAAUGCAGAGGAGAUCCGAUAAAGAUGAGAUGUUGCGCUAUUCUCCUAUAUAUAAUAAGAAAAAAAAUAGGAAAUGCAUGAAACAAGUAAAAAGAAGGCAUGCAUGACAAAAAAUAAAAUAAAAGACAAGUUUGAUAAGAAAUAAAUAGUGAUGAAAUAGGGACCAAUACCUAUGACAUGUAUGACAAUAAAUAGUGACGAAAUAGGGGCGCAAGUACCUGCAUCAACAUGAGACCAUAAAAAAUGUUCUUUUCCUGACAAAAAAAUUCUCUUUUUAUGAUUAAAAAUUCUGUAUCUUUUUAACAACUUUUUUAACUCUUCAUGUAUUUAAGAAAUAGCUACAAAUUCUCAGAUUAUAGAACUUUUUGUAAUUUAAGAGCGUGUGGUAUUUUUUCUCCCAUUGCAACGCACGGGCCUUUUUGCUAGUCUCUCCUAACUAUCACAACAGAUCAACCCAAGCUACAAUGCAAUCAUCACGCAUAGGGGAAGCACAACUGCAAAAGGAGGAAGGAGAGAGAGAAAACACUUUCAAAUUGCAGCCAUCACUAGCAACACUUCAAGAGAAAGGCACUAGCACCAUCAUCCACCUGCUACCUCGAUGCAAUUUUUCUGCUCCAGUCCAAGCUACAGCCAGCACCUGUACACGGUCACAAAGUAGAACUUCAAACAUCGUAGAUGGGGCAGCAAGAGAUAGAAGUAGGGAGAAAGACGUGGACCAACAGCUAGCAGCAGGAGGACGAGGCCAUCCCGGAUGCGGCCGGCGGCGAGAUGCUGGAGAGGAAGAGGCCCGCUGCACGGUGUGGGGGCCAGCGACCCUGAAUGAGGAGCGCGGGGCGGUGCGCGCUCGACUUCCUCGUGGAGAUGGGUGCGCGCUCGCCUAGCUUCGGAGGACACCAAUGCGGCCAACACGGACACGCCCUUGUCGCGGGAGGCCGAGCGCAGGUCGCCGGAGUCGAGCAUCGCGGCGACCGCGGAGACGACGGCGGCAGGGGGCCGACGGAUUCGGCAAGCGAGUCCAGCACCGCGGCUCUGGAGAUGGCCGAGCCAAGUCGGAGGCGGGAGAGUAGGCUGUAGGAUCCGCCACCUUGGCCCCCGACUUCGGCUGGGGAGACGAGCAGGCGCUCGCGGAGUGCGGCGCGGCCGGGGCCGCGGAUCGACGAACGCAACGGUGGAUUUGGGAGAAGAAACUGUGGUGCGCUUGUGGAUGGGGGAGCGUGGGUUUGGGUGGGGGCCACUACCGAUGUCUGUCGUUCGUUCGUGUUUCGCUUCGCUGUAACCCGACCGUGGAACACCUGGCGAUCGUGAUCCCGAUCAGACGGCCUGGAAGGGUGUGUGCUCAAGACCUCUAAUUUAGGAAAACAAAUAGCCCAAAGUAUUUAUCGUUCUCAUUUCUCAUGGAGCAACACACAGGCUACAUCCAGGACAUGAAGCAAGCGGGCAGAUCAAACCAUUUCCCCAAAGGAUCCUUGUAGUUUACACCAUGAUGUUACAAUUUGAACCACACAUUAUGUGUGCAGUUCACCACAGUUGCCUUGAUGGCUAUAACUCGCAGCUAGCGAGCGCCAACGCCUCACUUGCCGGGAACAAAGUUUGUGGCAAACGCCCAUGCGUUGUUGUUGACAGGGUCGGAGAGGUGGUCGGCGAGGUUCUCGAGUGGGCCGUUGCCGGUGACGAUGGCCUACACGAAAAAGCCAAACAUAGAGAACAUGGC